This 51465-nucleotide long non-coding RNA is filed under the name Vitis vinifera (wine grape). RNAcentral's name for it is "long non-coding RNA (VVIN_LNC006293)". Lineage: Eukaryota; Viridiplantae; Streptophyta; Magnoliopsida; Vitales; Vitaceae. The record is from RNAcentral.
CAUUGGAAUGCCUUCAAACACUCUCUUGUUAUGGUUGUUCGAAGAUGAAGAGUUUUCCGGAAAUCAAGGGUAAUAUGGGAAGUCUAAGAGAACUUGAUUUAAGUGAAACAGAUAUAAUAGAAGUACCAUCAUCAAUCAGGCAUCUACAUGGGCUUAAAACCUUGAAGUUAAGUGAUUGCUUAAACCUUGUGAGUCUUCAGGUCGGUAUUUGUAGUUUGAGCUCUCUUCAAACUCUUUUGAUGGAUGGGAGUUUAGAACUAAAGGCCUUUCUAGAUAUCAAUAUUGGAAGUCUAAAAGCCCUUGAAUGGUUAGAUUUGUCAUAUUGCGAAAACCUUGAGAGUCUUCCGGAUAGUAUUUGUAGUUUGACCUCUCUUCAAACUCUUUUGCUGAAUGGGUGUUCAAAACUGAAAGCCUUUCCAUACAUCAAUAUUGGAAGCCUCAAAGCUCUUGAAUUGUUAGCUUUGUCAUAUUGCGAAAACCUUGAGAGUCUUCCGGACAGUAUUUGUAAUUUGACAUCUCUUCAAACUCUCAUGUUAAAAGAGUGUUCAAAAUUGAAGGGCUUUCCAGAUAUCAAUAUUGGAAGUCUAAAAGCUCUUAAAUUGUUAGAUUUGUCAUAUUGCGAAAACCUGACAGUAUUUGUAGUUUGACCUCUCUUCAAACUCUUUUGCUGAAUGGGUGUUCAAAAUUGAAGGCUUUUCCGGAUAUUAAUAUUGCAAAUCUAAAAGCUCUUGAAUUGUUAGAUUUUUCAUAUUGUGAAAACUUUGGGAGUCUUCCAGAUAGGAUUUGUAGCUUAACCUCUCUUCAAACUCUUUUGUUGAAAAAGUGUUCAAAAUUGAAGGCCUUUCCAGAUAUCAAUAUUGGAAGUCUAAAAGCUCUUAAAUUGUUAGAUUUGUCAUAUUGCGAAAACCUUAAGAGUCUUCCAGACAGUAUUUGUAGUUUGACCUCUCUUCAAACUCUUUUUUUGAAUGGGUGUUCAAAAUUGAAGGCCUUUCCAGAUAUCAAUAUUGGAAGUCUAAAAGCUCUUGAAUUGUUAGAUUUGUCAUAUUGCAAAAACCUUGAGAGUCUUCCGCAUAGUAUUUGUAGUUUGACCUCUCUCCAAACACUUUUGUUGAAUGGGUGUUCAAAACUGAAGGCCUUUCCAGAUAUCAAUAUUGGAAGUCUAAAAGCUCUUAAAUUGUUAGAUUUGUCUUAUUGCAUAUACCUUGAGAGUCUUCCGCACAGUAUUUGUAGUUUGACCUCUCUUCAAACUCUUUUGUUGAAUGGGUGUUCAAAAUUGAAGGCCUUUCCAUGUAUCAAUAUUGGAAGUCUAAAAGCUCUUAAAUUGUUAAAUUUGUCAUAUUGCGAAAACCUUGAGAGUCUUCCGGAUAGUAUUUGUAAUUUGACCUCUCUUCAAACUCUUUUGCUGAAUGGGUGUUCAAAACUGAAGGCCUUUCCAGAUAUCAAUAUUGGAUGUCUAAAAGCCCUUGAAUUGUUAGACUUCUCAUAUUGCAAAAACCUUGAGAGUCUUCCGCACAGUAUUUGUAGUUUGACCUCUCUUCAAACUCUUUUGCUGAAUGGGUGUUCAAAACUAAAGGCUUUUCCAGAUAUCAAUGUUGGAAGUCUAAAAGUUCUAGAAUUGUUAGAUUUGUCAUAUUGCGAAAGCCUUGAGAGUUUUCCGGACAGUAUUUGUAGUUUGACCUCUCUUCAAACUCUUUGGCUGAAUGGGUGUUCAAAACUGAAGGUCUUUCCAGAUGUCAAUAUUGGAAGUCUAAAAGCUCUUGAAUUGUUAGAUUUGUCAUGUUGUAAAAAGCUUGAGAGUCUUCCGAUGAGCAUUUGCAAUUUGAGCUCUCUCAAAACUCUGCGGAUUAAAGAUUGUCCAAAACUCAAGGGAAUAUUAAAGAUGAACCUAGGGGUUGAUUUAUGCUCCUCGAGAUCUUUGAAUCUGACUUGUCACAUUUCAAAUUCAGGAGUAAUCUGGGAUAAUGACUGCUUUUCCUCAUUAAAAGCAUUAAAUCCAUGGUGCCCCCUGUCAUCACUGGUAGAAUUAUCUGUAAGAAACUCUAAUCUCAUGGAACGAGACAUCCUCAGUGCUAGUUUUCGCUUAUCCUCAAUGCAAAUAUUAUCUCUAAGGAACUUCCCUUUGAUGGUAGGAGGAAUCCUUGAUGACAUUUUCCAUCUAUCUUCAUUGGUAGAAUUAUCUCUUAGUGAAUGCAAUCUGAUGGAAGUAGGAACCCUCCAUUAUGUUUGGAACCUAUCUUCACUGCUAAGAUUAUAUCUAAGAAACUGUAAUCUAAUGGAAGGAGAGAUCCCCAAUCAUAUUUGGCACCUAUCAUCAUUGUGUAGACCCUCAAUUUUGUCCCUUUAGCACAUGUCUUUAAAAUUCGUUUUCAAUGCUCCACAAUAGUUCCUUGGUGGCCCAUGGCUACUCAUACCACUUACCUUUUUCUGAGUCACCUCGGAGAUUUUGGUUGAGGGAUUAUUUGAUCCCUUAUUGUGACCCUUGGCAGCCCUAACUUAGACUUAGGCUUUUCUUGUUUUUUUAGGAUAGCUUUUAGAUACACUUGGCCCAUUAGGCACUACCCUAGGCCCACUUAGUCUCACCUUAGGCCCGUUUAGGCACACUAGGCCUACGAAGACUUUUAUUUUAUUUUAUUUUAUUUUAUUUAUUUAUUUAUUUAUUUUGUUUUUAGUUUUAAUUUUAUGAUUAUCAUUCACUUUUUAUUGGUUAUCUUCCUCUUUAUAUCAUUUUCCUUAACUUAUUUAUUUAUUUAUUAUUUUUACCAUUUUUUAAUUUAUUUACUUAUUUAUCUAUUCAUGCAAUUAUUUAACUUCAAAAAUUUCAUGUUUUUGCAAGGAAACUUACCAUUGGAGUUUAAGGAAGGCGGGACUCUCCUUGGAAGGUUUUGGAGGGGAAUUUGAAAUUGGGAAGAUUGCUUUUGAUUGGAGGAUUUAAAAAAAGAAGAGAAGAAGAAAGGAAAGAGGAGAAUUUUCCUUUUUGGAAACAAAUUUAGGUCUUGAGGGGUGAUAUAUAUAGGUGAGAAAAGGAAAAGAAUAGGGGGAUUUUUCUAGGGGGGCAGGGCACACGGAAUUUUGAAAAAAAAGCAAGGGACUUCGAACGGAGAUCGGGCUGUCAUUUAAUCAUCAAGAGAGGAUUUUCUCUCACUUCAAAGGUUAGUUUUCUAUAUAGUACUUUUAUUUAGCCUAGAUUUUUUUUUUUUUUUUUUUUUUGGAAAUUUUAGUUUUUGAUUAAUUCUUUGUGUUAAAGUUUAUAUUAUUUUCUUUUUAAAUCCCCAAUUAGUUUAAUUCUAAUCUAUCUUUUAGUUUAAGUUUGUUAAUGAUUUUAAUUCUUAAGUUUAAAUAAUCCUAUCGAAUAAAGUUUGUAUUUUUAAUCCCAAUUAGUUUGAUUUUAAUUUGUUUUUUAGUUUAAAUGUAUUUUGUUGAUCUUAAUUCUUGACUUUAAAUAAUCAUGUUAAAUAAAGUUUGUGUUUUUAAUCUCAAUUAGUUUGAUUUCAAUUCGUUUUUAGUUUAAAUACAUUUUGCUGAUCUUAAUUCUUUAGUUUAAAUAAUCAUAUCGAAUAAAGUUUGUAUUUUUAAUCCCAAUUAGUUUGAUUUUAAUUUGUUUUUUAGUUUAAAUGUAUUUUGUUGAUCUUAAUUCUUUACUUUAAAUAAUCACGUUAAAUAAAGUUUAUGUUUUUAAUCUCAAUUAGUUUGAUUUCAAUUCGUUUUUAGUUUAAAUACAUUUUAUUGAUCUUAAUUCUUAAGUUUAAAUAAUCAUAUCGAAUAAAGUUUGUAUUUUUAAUCCCAAUUAGUUUGAUUUUAACUUGUUUUUUAGUUUAAAUGUAUUUUGUUGAUUUUAAUUCUUANNNNNNNNNNNNNNNNNNNNNNNNNNNNNNNNNNNNNNNNNNNNNNNNNNNNNNNNNNNNNNNNNNNNNNNNNNNNNNNNNNNNNNNNNNNNNNNNNNNNNNNNNNNNNNNNNNNNNNNNNNNNNNNNNNNNNNNNNNNNNNNNNNNNNNNNNNNNNNNNNNNNNNNNNNNNNNNNNNNNNNNNNNNNNNNNNNNNNNNNNNNNNNNNNNNNNNNNNNNNNNNNNNNNNNNNNNNNNNNNNNNNNNNNNNNNNNNNNNNNNNNNNNNNNNNNNNNNNNNNNNNNNNNNNNNNNNNNNNNNNNNNNNNNNNNNNNNNNNNNNNNNNNNNNNNNNNNNNNNNNNNNNNNNNNNNNNNNNNNNNNNNNNNNNNNNNNNNNNNNNNNNNNNNNNNNNNNNNNNNNNNNNNNNNNNNNNNNNNNNNNNNNNNNNNNNNNNNNNNNNNNNNNNNNNNNNNNNNNNNNNNNNNNNNNNNNNNNNNNNNNNNNNNNNNNNNNNNNNNNNNNNNNNNNNNNNNNNNNNNNNNNNNNNNNNNNNNNNNNNNNNNNNNNNNNNNNNNNNNNNNNNNNNNNNNNNNNNNNNNNNNNNNNNNNNNNNNNNNNNNNNNNNNNNNNNNNNNNNNNNNNNNNNNNNNUGAUGGAUAUUUCAUUAGCUUAUUUGAUCUAAAUAUUAAUAAUUUAUUGCUUUGAUAGUUUCCUUUUUGUUCAAAGGCCAUUGGAAAAUCAUGAAGAUUGGCCUCUACCAUCACCAUUAUCAUUUUUGUUAAUUACUAAAAAAAUUUUACUUUGAGGUUUCAUUUUUGUUUUGUUGGGUAUUUUAUUUCUUAUAUUUUAUUUUUUCCAAAUUAAUUCCUUUUAUUUUAAAAUAAAAUACUUUUCUCAAAAAAAUCAUUUUAAAAAUCUAUUUCAAAAACUCAUUUAGAGUCCUCAGGAUCAAAAUCUUUUUUUUUAUUAUUUAAAAAUAAUAUGCAACCAUAUCUUGUUCGGUUUGCAUCCUUCUCGGUUUUCAACAAAAAUUUUGGUUUUGAACAAAAACACGAAUCAAAGCUUGUGGUCCCAAAUAAUGGGAUAAUUCUGGGCUAAAUUUGUGUAUAUUAAUUUGGGGAAUUGGUGAAACCCCUACAUAAGAAAAUCUUUUCAAAAAUUAUUUUUGUUGCCAUCUUUGUCACUUGUUGAAAUUAUGUCUAUUUUUUUUAAGAAUUGUAUACAUGAUGAGUGUGAUAAUUAAUGUUUUCAUAUGCUUUGAUAAUUUUUGUUAUGCUAAUUAGAUAACAAGCAUGCUAGGGUUUCUUUAUUUUAUUAUUAUCUAAUCCCUCAUGUCUUAUGGAAGCGCAUUGUAAGUUAUCUAUGCUAUCCAGGUAUGCCCCCUAAUGACCUACUUUCUAAAUUUCGUAAACAAUCAUGUCACUGUGAAGUAUGCAUAUGUUUGAUAAUCCUUAGGUGUUUAGAUGUAUGCUUGAUUCACUAUGAUUAAAUACAUGUUGUGUGUUAUACUUCUAUAUUAACUCUGAUGUUUUAUGAUAGCGCUUGAAGAGCGGUUCAGGUACGCACCCUAACUCUCAGUUUUUGUGAUUUGAUCUUGUUUAGCAUGCAAAUCUUUUGAAAUCACCUAGUCUACCUAGGUCCAUAAUUAACCGAUUAAUUGCCAUAUUCCCCUUAACUUAAUUAGUAGAGACCUUUUUAGGGCUUAGAAGGGUGCUACCUCUUAGAGGUACCUUCCCAAUAAGUAACCUGAUCCCCGGACCAAGACUUGGGUUUUCAAAGACACGCUUUUCCAAAAAUUAUGGAGUCAUUUUUUUUAGGGUUUUAUUUCUUGUUUUAUUUUCCCUUCAAAAAUAAAAAUAAAAUAAGUGGCGACUCCAACUUUUUUUUUUCAAAAAUCAAUUUUUCACAAAAUAAUAAAAAGCGAGUCUCACCGAUCGAGUGGGGGCGCACGUGAAAAAUGCGGGUCCACAAAUUGGCGACUUCGCUGGGGAUUUUGAGGAUCAAGCUUGAACACUAGUUAGGAAAAUGUGGCGUUUAAUUGGUCGAUUAGUGGGUACCUCUUUUUUUAGGCAAGGUGAUUCGAUUUGCUUGCUUGUUUGGUUUGCUAUCUUAACAUGUUUGAUUGCCUUGGAUGAUCACUUAACUGUUUGCUCACUUUAGCAUGAUUCACUCUCACAUAUGUUAGAUAGGACUUUGUUUGUUUGAUAUUUAUCUGCUCAGCAUGACUGUUUGUUGUGUUUGCCUUGGAUGAUCACUUGAUUGUUUUGCUCACUUUAGCAUGAUUCACUCUCACAUAUGCUAGAUAGGACUUUGAUUGUUUGAUAUUUAUCUGCUUCACAUGACUGCUUGUUGCAUGACAACCCUUGCUCUUGCAUGUUCGUAUGAUUGCUUGUCUUCAUUCACUAUCUCACUUUAGACCUUAGGUUUUUCGGAUGCACCCACAUCCUUCAUUGUGCACUUUAGAUUAUCCUUGAGUGUUGAGAGAUGGGAGAGCCUUCACCAUUAAGAAACCCCCUGGGAACGCGAGGAAGUGCAUGUGUGGAGGUGAUGACCACCUUGCAUGGAAGCACCCCGUCUUCUUGGAGGCGUGCAGAGGGUUGCGUACCGCCGGAGGGUACGAUCGCUUCUGCUAGGGAUCCUUUGACCCGCUCAUUUUAUCUUAUAGAGCCACCUUAACCUUGUAGGUUAGCCUAGACCCAAUUAAGAUUUCAUUCCUACACGUGGGUGCAUCUGUGGACCUUCAGAGCUGCCUUGGUCACAAUUGGAAUUGGUUAUCCCUUCCUUAGUCUCCUUUUGGUGUAAUCAGAAGAGGGUAUCAGAUUGAGUAUAUUUGGGCUUUGCUUCUACGCCUUUGAUUCAUACAGAGUCACCUUCGAGUUACACCUUAUUCAGUGUUUCCAUAUUUGUAGGAGGGUUUACCGUGACCGAUCUGGAUUCACCUUUGUGGAUUAGAGUUGGAGGUAGAUUGAGCAGAGUAUCAGACCAGUCAGAUCAGAGAUCAGAUCAGAGGGAUAUGGACUCACAGGUAGUUACCGUUGACCAGUUUGCCGCAGCCAUGGCUUCUAUCCAGGAGGCUAUAGCUAACCUUGGUCAGAGGAUAGAUGGACAGCAGACCCAGCAGGUCCCAGUUCAGGAGAGUACCCAGUUCGAUACCAUAGUACCGCCACCACCUCUGCCUAGUCAGUCAGUACCACAGGUUAUACCUUUCACUCUGCAUAGUCAGAUCGAGGUUGCCCCGCCUCCUAUCACAUCGCCUAUCCCGGCUUCAGAGGACCCACAUGCUCGUAUGGAUAAACUUGAGCAGAAGUUGAGACAGAUGAGGACUUCAGAGGGAGCUAUUACUUGGGAGGAUUUUGAUGGAGCACCAGUGGCCAGUCUACCGGCCAAAUUUAGGAUGCCUGAGAUUGAGAGAUACACAGGCAUAGGAUGCCCUCGCAUCCAUUUGAGACUUUAUAGUACUGUUAUGAGGGCCCAUGGACUGGAUGAUGCCCAGAUGGUUAUGCUCUUUCCUAUGUCAUUGAGUGGUGCUGCACAGCGUUGGUUCGCUUCAUUGGAGGUAUCACGCCGUAGGACUUGGGAUGACUUAGCCCAGGAGUUUUUGAGACAGUUUGCAUUUAACACUGUCAUUGAUGUUUCGAGGAGAGAGUUGGAGGCUUUGAGACAGAGGCCGGAGGAGUCAGUCACUUCAUUUAUCUCCCGCUGGAGGGAGAAGAUUUCACAGAUUAUAGACCGUCCUUCAGAUAGAGAUCAUAUUAGCAUGAUCAUGAGGAGCUUGCAGCCUAGAUUUGCUAGACACUUGAUGGGAUUUCCCCAUACGGAUUUUGGAUCUUUGGUACAGGCUUUGUACGGUAUAGAGGAGGGCAUUGCUAGAGGAUUAUGGUCUGAGUCUUCCCCUACUGAUUCUAAGGGGAAGAGGCCUUCAGGAGGACAGAGAUCAGGAGAUGUUGGUGCUAUCAGUUUAGCAGGGAUGAGACCUUCUAGACACUAUCAGACAGUUGGGCAGACUCCUGGGUACUACUAUCCACCUUCACCUCAUGCGCAUUACAGACCACCCGCUCCUUCCAGACCCAUGACUCCUACCUAUCUACAUCCAGUCUCACAACCUAUUUUCGCUGCACACGUCGUAGAGAGGCCUCCUGCCCCAUAUAUUCGACCCCGAGCUCCACAGACCACUACUUAUGUGCAGAGGCCACCACGUCAGUUUGCUCAGUUGGGUAUGCCUUUGAGUCGAGCUUUUCAGAAGCUCACAGAGGGUGGAUUACUGAUUCCAUUAGCAUCCAGGCCUUUACCCCAACCCAUACCACCUCGCUUCAGGAUGGACUUACAUUGUUCCUACCAUCAGGGACCAGGGCAUGACACGGACCAUUGCACUGCUUUGAGACAUGCUAUUCAGGACUUGAUAGACCAGGGUUUGGUCAACUUGGGGCAGCCAAGUGUGACUACGAACCCUCUUCCUGCUCAUUCUACACACGCAGUGCAUCCAUCUUUAGGAGAUAUUCGUCACAUGGACCUUAUAGAGGAUGACAGUAUACACAUGUUGAGUUGGGAUGAUGGAUUACUUGAGCCGAUUGUUCUGCAUGACAGCUAUGAGAUUGAUGGGGUUUCAUUGGUCCCUCAGGCUCCUGCACCAUUCAGUUUGAUCCCGGACGAGGCACUAUUCCAAUUGACUCAUCCUACACCCUUAGUUAUCGGAUGUCAGGAUACUUUUGUCCCAUUCACUUUAUGGCCAGAGGAUGAUGAUUCAGCAGGAAGAGAGAUACAGAUUGUGACUCGCAGUGGGAGGAUAGCUCAGCCACCACCACCAGCAGUUAGACCAUUUGAGGGUACAACCUCUCAUGAGGAGGUUAGGAGAGAGGAUGAUGAGGUUUUGAGGCAGCUACAGAGCACUCAGGCUCGCAUUUCCAUCUGGAGUUUAUUAGCAUCAUCCAGUACUCAUAGAGAUGCUUUGAUUCGAGCCUUGAGUCAGAUCAGAGUAGAGACUACCACCACUCCAGAGGGAUUGAUUCAUAUGAUGACGGCUGGCAGGGCCACUUGCAUUGUAUUUUCAGAUGAUGACUUGCCACCUGAUGGUUUAGACCACAUGCGCCCUCUAUAUAUCACAGUUGGAUGUUUAGGCCGUAGAGUCUCGUCAGUCCUACUGGACAACGGCUCAGCCCUGAAUGUUUGCCCUUUAGCCACUGCUAUAGCCCUUGGUUUCGCACCUUCAGAUUUUGGUCCUUCUACUCAGACAGUCAGAGCGUAUGAUAGCACCAAGAGGGAGGUUAUGGGUACCUUGAUGAUCGAUUUGCAGAUUGGUCCAGCCACAUUUUCCACUUUGUUCCAGGUUUUGAGGAUUCCUGCAUCCUUUAGCCUGCUACUAGGCCGACCAUGGAUUCAUGUAGCUGGAGCUAUUCCUUCUUCCCUUCAUCAGAAGGUGAAGUUUAUUCAUGAUGGGCAGGUCAUCACAGUGCGUUCUACCAGGGAUAUAUUUGCGUCUUCUGAGCCAGUACUUCAGAUCAGUCACAGUGAGGACGACCUACUUCUGACUGGGUUUACUUUUGAUGAGAUACAGACUCUCGAGAUUGAGGAUUUUUGUAGAGACUUUGUGGCUAUGUCAUUUGAUCAGCACAGUAGCACAGUGGUCCUUGAUAUGAUGAGGGGUAUGACCUUUCUACCUGGCAUGGGGUUAGGAUGACGUCAACAGGGACCGAGCGAGUUCAUAGCUGCCAUUGACCAUGAUACGACAUUUGGACUUGGAUUCAUCCCUAUUGAGGCCGAUUACCGUCACAUGGCGCGGCUGCGCAAGGAGAAGGUGAGAGCCCGUUUAUCCCACACACCAUUUGAUUAUCCUAUUCGACCCUAUAGGAUGAGUUUGGCUGACUACUUUGUCAGAGGAUCAGAGACUCGACCUCGUCUAGAGGAGAUUGAUAGUGUGGUUCAUACAGAUAGAGAGACCGAGCUUCAUGACUCAUGCCCAAUUGGUGUCUCAGCUGAUUUGUAUUCAGCUGGUGCUCCUUGAUUGAGGAAGUGAUCAACAAAAUUUAUACCUAUAACACCAUACACUAGGGUAGCAAAUACAAAGCUACUAUAGUAUAGUGGCUCUAAGGAUCGUUCACUGGGAAUGAUUUGCAAGCAAUCAAGGAUACCAAUUCCAAGUGAAUUGGUCUUGUUUCAUUUCACGGUUAGCUUAAGAAGUAAAACACAAAGUUUGAUUGGUAAAGGUUUAGACUUAAACUAACUAACUUAACAGAAGUUUGGAAUAAUUUAGGAAGAAAAGCAUUCCUUGGAGAUUUAGGUUCACUGGGGUGGUUCCUCAUGCAAAAGACAUAGCUCCGGUCAGAUGGUUCAUUUCCUCGCAUUAGAGAUUCAACUUAGAGUCAAUUCUCUAACCGGUGAUGUACAGAGACUCCUUCAAUUAGAUUUCACUUUAAUUCUCUCACUGAUGCAACUUGCAAUGGUUCAUGCCUCUCACGAGCACUUACCAUUCAAGGUGAUCUUUAACCUUGGAUUCCCUUCACAAACUCGCAAGAGAUAACUAAUGGAUGUCUCCUAAGAGUCCAAAAGCUUACCAAGUGUUGGUAAUUCCAGAAAAUCCUACCUUGAAGUCACCUACCAAAGGCUCGCAAGGGGUAAACUAGUGCAUUUCCACGGUUGGAAAUCACUUGCCUUACCAAGUGUUGGCCCAGGUGACUCCAAAGUGUUUUAAGUUAACUAAAAACAUUGAAAUCACUAAAGGAUUUCACUUCCUCUUCAUUUCUAGCUAAAACCACAGAGCUUUGCAUUUUUGCACUUGGAACCUUCCCCGGCAACCUUAGCUCCAAGGAAUUGGAGGUUUAGUUACUCAUUCUCUGGGGAAAACUCCUCAGAGAAUUCAUAACUUAGAAAUAAAAUGAAAAUACAAAGUGAGAAGGUGAGGCAAUAGAAGGAAAAGACUUUACUUGCUUACCAAAAUGGUUACAGAAGGAACUCCUCUCUGAGAACAGGCUCCCGAGAGGUAUAUAUAUCAAAGCAAUAUAAAACUAAUUGUUACACUGAUAUUUGGUCUUUUUACUAACUUUAAAACUAAGGAAUCAUGUAAUUGGUGGUUUACAAGGAGUAUUUUGGGAUUUAGACAACAAAAAUCUAAUGGAAAAUAUCUCCCAAUGUCGGUAGCAAGCUUCGGGAGGCUUCAGGAGCCAUUUCGCAGGAGAAAAGUGGUGCCUGCGAAAUUUCGCAGACACCCAAUAGGGCUGCGAAAUUAUUUCGCAAGACCGAGCUAUCUUCACCAGGCUGCAAAGUUGGCUUCCAUCUUGAAGUUUCCAGCUUCCCUCUCGCGGCAUGGUUCGUGCAUCGUCAGAAGAAGAAACACCUUACUGUACAAAAGUGUUGCAAAAUUCUCGCAACAAAAGGCUGAUUCCGCAGCACUUUAGAGUGACUGGCUUGUAAUGGCUGCAACUUCUUCGUUUCAACUCCAAAUUGCACACCGUUUGAAGCAUUGGAUUGUUGACUUCCUGAGCUUUGAAAUGGUAUAUAGCAUGCAUCAUUUGGACUUCAGAAAGUGCUCCAAAAGUGGCUGCUACGACUGUCAUCAAGAAUAAGCUUCAUGACUGAUCCUCUUUGCUUUUUCUCCUUGCAAUCCGGAUUCACUCUUGGCAAUUGAAUUCUAAGCUUUGCCCAAGAUUCCUCAUAGCUCUCCUCAUUCUUGACUUGCUUUGGUGAUCAAAAUACUAACAAAAACACCAAAACUUACACAAAGUGAUCAAAAUUGCUUUAAAGGAUCCUUAACAUGCCAAUUGAGUUAAAAGGCCUAAACUACUACUCAAAAGUGGUAAAAAGGAUUAAUUAAAGGCUAUCAAAUAGCACUUUUUGAGUAGUAAUCACUCCCCCCAACCGACAUAUUGCUAGUCCCUUAGCAAUAUAGGAGAGAAAAAUGAAAAUAAAUAGCUAAUUAUACUAAAAUUUACAACAUCAUGCUAAAGGAAAAUAAUUCUCAAGUGGCAUGAUGAUCUAAUUCUCACAUGAAUCAUUAAAGAAAUACAAACCCAAAUCUCAACAAGAGUCAUAACAAACUAUGUUAAGCACUGUCAAUCAAGGGAGUGCAUUAUGCAAACUGAAGUUUUAAAAUCAUUUCAACUUUCAAAGAACUAAACUUCAAUCUUCCACAAAAAUCUAUGUGUAUUGGUUCCUUAGGUUCCGAGAAUAAUAUGCUACUAAUCUCACCCCCCAACCUAUCUCUUUUCAACACUUUAGCAAACUGACCAAAAUCAAUAAGAAAAGAACACACUUUCAUCUUUUUUUUUUUUUUUUUUUUUUUUUUUCAAGGUAGCUUUAUGGGGUACUCUUUCUGACUUGUCCAUGUAAUGGGGGUCCAUCGAUGACUCCCAACCAAUUAAGGUUUAGGGCACCAAGUUUUAAGGAUCUUUCAACCACUAACUCCUCGGAUUUUUCCCCGGACUUUUAAGAAUGAGAUUCUAAUACCCAAGCAUCUACCAUAUGCUAACUCUACCUAUUCACCCUUGUAACGAGCAUUGAGGUCGGUGACUCCCAACCAAUUAAGGCUUAGGGCACCAGGCUUUAAAGGCUUUCACCAUAUGCCCCUCAGACCUUGCUCGGGUUUCAAGGCAAGCAAACAAAUUUCUUUAUUUCAAAGGCUCAUUGGCCUUUUGCAGAGUGUUUCAAUUUUUAUUAAAUGAGGUCAAAUAUACCAAGUCUCAAAAUUAUCCUAAGUCAAGAGGGAAAUAGCUUUUCAUCUUAUAAUCGGAAACUAAUGUGCACAGUGUGUGGAUAGCUUAAAGUGGAAGAACUUAAUUCAAUUUCAGUAGAAGUUUCAACAAUUGAACCACUUUAGUAAGCAUAAUCCAUACUCUAAGUCAAGUGAAAAACAACAGUUCAAUUUCUCUUGGUUUAAUUUGAAAAUUUUUCCUCAAAAUUCAUGGAGAAUAGAGUAACACUAAUAAAAAGUAAAAACUACAACUAAUUAACCAAUAUAAUUAAAAUACCAAAAAGGUUUAGAAUACUUCCUUCCUCAUACCCCCCAACCGAAUUGAGCAUUGUCCUCAAUGUGAUUUGAGUGACUGUAAUAAAAGGGAGGAAGUUGUAUCUCCAUGCUGAUAUCAAAUUCGAAUAUUGAUUGGGGAAAACCACAUGUUUCAAAAAGAAUAGAAUAUGUGAGAAAAGGAAAUAAUAAUAACUUAAUGCUAACUUUUAACAAGAAAUAGUCAACUUGUAUUACUUUGAGUUCAUUUAAUUACAAUGCUAAAAACAAGUAACACAAGGAAUCCCAUAUAUAGUACCAAAAUACUGGGAUUUCAUUUCAACUAAAACAAAACAAACAUGCAUAAAAACAUAAACAGAAAAUAUAUAUAAUGUCUGAUGAGUGGGGUGAUGGUGCUAAGCAGAAGGAUCUGCCUUCUCAGUAGGUGGAUCAGCUGGUGCUUCUGGCUCUGGAGCUUGAGACUCUGAAGGCUGAGAGUGUGGCUCUGGUGGAGUCUCAGUGGAGGGCUCUACAGCUUGUGGCAGGUCGAAAUGGACUUGAAGCUGCCUUAGGAUGGCAGCUUGUUGAGCCUGAGAGGCUAACAUCUGCUCCUGGCAUGCUUUGAUGGCUGCCAACUCCUGAGCAAGAUUGCUCUGGGUAGCUGUAAGAGUCUCCAAUGCACGACACAGCUCUCGAUAUUCGGAUAUAGGGAUGGCCAUCCUCGGCUCAGCUGAUGUGGAUGGCUGUGAUGGAGCAGGUGCAGGUGCAGGUGCAGCUGGUGGAGCUCGAGGGAUGGCAGGAGUAGCAAGUGUGAUAUCCUCUGGUCUGUGCCUUGGGGAGGCUCUCCUUGCUGCUAGCUGAGGCUGCCCAGGCUGAUCAAUUUUGUAGGCCGUCAUAUUAUUCCAUUUAUCAAGGGUAAAUGGCUCACGGCAAAUUCUCUUUCUUUCCUGCUGAGGCUCAGAGGGGUAUCCGAGAUGCUCCAAAACUUGGCAUAGCAGCCUUGGGAAGAGGAGUGGAAUGCAAUCUGCUCUUUGAAGCUUCUUCUUGUAAACCUUCUCCUCAAAGUAGAGAAGGGCUGCCAUGAUCAGAUGAUGAGGCCCAAAGAAGAAUCCUUCUGGCAUUUUGUACAGGGCUUCCAGGAGAAUUCCCCUUCUUUGGGUCCAAUGCUGUAGGGGAUAGAUAUUAUGCCUCAAAAAGGCAUCAAUCAAAAACAUCACUGGAGGUAGCUCCCCCCUCAACAGGUGUGACCGAUUUGCAGCUCCUCUAGACAAGGUGCUAACCAUCUCUAGCUCAGCUGGAUUUACCCAAGCCUUAAAAUUGUCAAAUUGGGUUGGCUCAAAAGGAAUUUGCAGAGCUUCAGCAAUAUGUCUUGCUCCCAAAAUACCAUGUCUACCAUCAAUAAUAAAAUGAAUCAAGGUUGGAUUUCUUACUUCUUUGGUUGUCAUGGUCUGGUAGAAAUCAGUGACUACCCGGGGAUAGAAAAAAUCCCUUGGAGCUAGCAGAUGCUCCAUAUGAUACUUCCUCAGCAGCUGGAAGGAUUGGGCAAGCUCUGGCCUCACUCUAAAUGUUGCUAAAUCGAAGCACAAUUCAGAAUGGAAUGCCCGAGUUCGACAAUCCAAGUUUCCUUCGAUUGGGGGCUGGGGCAGCAUUGGCCUUCGGAUCACUUCUUCCAGAGGUGCUUCAGCUGCAAUUUGGGGCUCUGGAAUUGGCGCUUGAGACUCCUGAGCUUUUUCUUGGGGUGCCGGAGAUGGUACCGGCGAUGGAAUUGGAGUUGCUUCUGGUGAGGGAACCGGUGACGGCAUUGGAAUUUGUACCGGUGAAGGAUUUGGUGAAGAUACCGGAGAUUGAACCGGUGUUGGCUUUGGGGAUUUCUCAGGGGAUUGCUCAGUCAAAUUGAUUGGUUCAGAGCUCUCAACCCUGGCUUUCUUCUUCAACGGUCGACCGCCUGACCUGGUUAAAUAUCGCCUUGCCGGCGGCUUUGGUGGCGCCGGCUUCACUGGAGAAGGUUGUGGUCUCGACGGCGAAGGCUUUGGAGCAGGUUCUGGAACAGAGCCUGGACUUGGCUCCUUUCGCAGACUCCUUUUACGGUUCGAAGGGGAUGAAGACUUUGCCCCUCGCGUUCGUGCCAUUUUGGGCUAUCGAUCUUUGGCCGGCGCUGCUAAACGGAGAAGAUGACCGGAGAAGCGAACGGCGUGGCUUGGCGAAGAAGAUGAAGGGGCCGCGAGAAUGGUGCUCUGAUUUUUGAAACCCUUUUCGCAACACUUUUGACCGGUAUAAAUAGGAAAAACGGAAGCCCAGGGGUCAGUUUAAGUUUCGCAACAAAACGCCAAUUUCGCAGCAACUUGCCAUUUUCGCAGCAACUUCGCAGUGAGUUUCGCAGCUGCGAAAUCGAUGUCACUGUGCUGCGAAGUGGCACUCGUGUGCCAAAACCACUUUCGCAAUUGCGAAAUGCCCUGCGGAAUGGGACUUUUGGUGCGAAAUCACGCUUUUCCAUUUCGCAAUGAGUUUCGCAGCUGCGAAAUGGAUGCUACUGUUCUGCGAAGUGGCACUCGUGUGCCAAAACCACUUUCGCAAUUGCGAAAUACACUCGCAGGGACUUCUACAGUGCUGCGGAAUGGUUUGGCAACAAAAAUCACAUUUCGCAGAAGUUUCCUUCACUCUGCGAAAUUUCGCAGAGCUCUGUUUUUCCCCUGUUUUUGCUCUGUUUCUGUUUUGUUUCGGCUCCAAUUUCGACCCGAUUUUUUUCUUUUCAAUUUCCUUGAAAUUUCUUCCACCUGGGAUCAUAUAAAACGAUUAAAACACACCUAAAAACAUGAUUUAAGAUAAAAAAACUAAGAUCAAAAGUAUGGAAACAACUUGAAAAUUUACAAAAUUUACAAAAAAUUUGGACUGUGGUAAAACCACGUCCAGCAAACCCAUUUCACUUAGGCUUUUUGAGGUUCAAGGAGGUUGAUUGCCUCCUUUUCUGAUUUGAACGACUCCAUGAAUGGCUUAAGAUGAUAUCCAUUGACUCGAAAACUAUCCUUGCCAUUGGAAUUCAAUAAGUCCACCACUCCAUUGGAAUAUACUCGGUGAAUAACAAAUGGACCAAUCCACUUUGACUUGAGCUUCCCAGGAAAGAUAUGGAGUCUUGUGUCAUACAUCAAAACUUUUUGCCCUUCUUGAAAUUCCUUGUUGGAGAUGAGUUGGUCAUGCCACUUCUUCAUCCUCUGUUUUGCAACUUUGGAAUUGAUAUAAGCAUUAUUUCUUAAUUCCUCCAUCUCAUUAAGGUCUAGAAAUCUCUUUUCUCCGGCCUUGAUCAAAUCCAUAUUCAGCUUCUUUAUUGCCCACCAAGCUUUGUAUUCAACUUCCACAGGGAGAUGGCAUGCUUUACCAUAGACAAGACGAUAGGGAGACAUCCCUAGAAUAGUCUUAUAAGCUGUUCUAUAUGCCCACAGUGAAUCAUGAAGCCUAAUAGACCAAUCUUUUCUGUUGGAAUUCACCACUUUCAUCAAAAUGUUCUUUAUUUCUCUGUUAGCUAGCUCAACUUGCCCGGAAGUCUGAGGAUGAUAAGGUGUGGCCACCUUAUGCUUCACUCCAUACUUGGAUAACAGAGCUUCAAAAGGUUUGUUACAAAAAUGAGCACCUCCAUCACUGAUUAUGGCCUUGGGCACCCCAAAUCUUGAGAAAAUGUUCUCUUUAAGAAACUUGAGAACCACCCUAUGAUCAUUUUGCUUACAGGGGAUUGCCUCAACCCAUUUAGAAACAUAAUCUACCCCUACCAAGAUGUAAGAAUUACCAAAAGACAUUGGGAAAGGUCCCAUGAAGUCAAUGCCCCAUACAUCAAAUAUCUCUACUAUCAGAAUGGGGUUCAUAGGCAUUUGAUUUCUUUUUGUUAGCUUUCCAAGCCUUUGGCAUCUAUCACAACUCCUACACAUGAUAUGGGCAUCUUUAAAAAGAGAGGGCCAAGUAAACCCUGACUGUAAUACCUUCAUGGCUGUUUUCUGAGAGGCAAAGUGACCUCCACAUGCAUUCUCAUGACAAUGAGAUAGAAUCCCUUGCUGCUCAUCUUCAGGGACACACUUUCUAAUAAUCUGAUCUGCACAAUACUUAAAGAGAAAGGGCUCUUCCCAAUAAUAAGAAUGAAUUUUGGCGAAGAAGUGCUUCCUGUCCUGUGCAUUCCACUCACUUGGAAUUUCUCCAGUUACUAAAUAAUUAGCAAUAUGAGCAUACCAAGGAGUUUUCACUAGGAACAUGAGUGAUUCUUCAGGAAAAUCAUCAUUGAUAGGCAAGGGAUGGGAAUUAUGUGCUAUAACUAACCUUGACAAGUGGUCAGCUACUACAUUCUCCACUCCUUUCUUAUCUUUGAUUUGAAGAUCGAAUUCUUGUAACAAUAGAAUCCAUCUAAUCAACCUUGCUUUUGCAUCUUGCUUUGUCAAUAAAUACUUCAAGGCUGAAUGGUUAGUAAACACAAUGAUGAAAGACCCCACUAAAUAAGCUCGAAAUUUGUCCAAAGCAAAUACCACAACUAACAAUUCUUUCUCUGUAGUUGUGUAGUUCCUUUGAGCUUCAUUUAGUGUUUUACUUGCAUAGUAAAUCACAUAAGGCUUCCCAUCUUCUCUUUGGCCAAGCACAGCUCCUAUAGCAAAGUCACUGACAUCACACAUCAAUUCAAAAGGUAACUGCCAGUUAGGGGCUCUUACUAUUGGAGUUGUUGUUAAAAAUUUCUUCAGUUGAUCAAAGCUAUGCUGACACCUUUCAUCCCAUAUAAACUUAGCAUCCUUAGCUAACAGCUCACAAAGAGGUUUUGAAAGACUUGAAAAACCUUUUAUAAACCUCCUAUAGAACCCUGCAUGGCCAAGGAACUGCCUUACUCCUUUCACAGUUGUUGGAGAUGGUAAUUUGGCAAUAAGCUCCACCUUUGCUUUAUCAACUUCAAUGCCUCUUUCAGAGAUGAUAUGGCCAAGGACAAUUCCUUGACGUACCAUAAAAUGGCAUUUUUCCCAAUUCAGCACCAAAUCUUUUUCAAUGCAUCUUUGAAGAACUGCUUCCAAAUUAACCAAGCACUCCUCAUAUGUACCUCCAUAUACGGUGAUGUCAUCCAUGAAAACCUCCAUAAUUCUCUCCACCAUAUCACUGAAAAUACUCAACAUACAUCUUUGAAAUGUAGCAGGUGCAUUGCAUAAACCAAAAGGCAUUCUUCUAUAAGCAAAUGUUCCAAAUGGACAUGUAAAAGUGGUUUUUUCCUGAUCUGCCAAAUCAAUUUCAAUCUGAAAAUACCCUGAAUACCCAUCCAAGAAACAAUAGAAUGGAUGUCCAAAGACUCUCUCCAGCACUUGGUCAAUAAAUGGCAAUGGAAAAUGAUCUUUCCUGGUGACAGCAUUCAGCUUUCUAUAAUCAAUACACACCCUCCAACCUGAAGUGAGGCGUGUAGUAAUUUCUUCCCCUUUUUCAUUUUGAACCACUGUGAUCCCUGACUUCUUUGGUACCACUUGAAUAGGACUCACCCAAGGGCUAUCAGAUAUAGGGUAAAUGAUUCCUGCUUGAAGUAGCUUCAGCACCUCAGCUCGCACCACCUCUUGUAGAUGAGGAUUCAACCUUCUUUGAAAUUGACGAAUUGGCUUUGCUUCCUCCUCCAUAUAUAUAUGAUGAGUACAAACUAAAGGACUAAUGCCUUUCAAAUCAGAUAUUUGCCAUCCUAUUGCUUUCUUACACCUCCUGAGAACUUCCAUUAAACCAUCCUCUUGAUGACUGGUCAGAGAUGAAGAUAUUACAACAGGACAUUGAUUAUUUGCUUCAAGGUAUGUAUAUUUCAGCUCCACAGGUAAAGGCUUCAAAUUGAGUUUUGGAAUUUCUUUUUCAACAGCUGCCUCCUCUUCUUCAUUGAACAAAGGUAGAAUUCCUUCUAUCUUUCUCCAACUUUGUAGAGUAGCAAGCCCACUAGGAGAUUCAGAAAAACCUUCCUCAAUAUCCUCAAGACUUUCAUUCAACUUGUCUUGCAUAUGUUGAUUGCAGUGCUCCUCCACCAAAGUAUCAAUUAUACAUAGCUCUUCUGGACCUUCUUCUUCUUCAGGAGUGAUUUGCUUUUUAGACAUAUAGAAAAUAUUGAGAUCCAGGGUCAUAUUACCAAAAGUGAGUUGCAUCAGCCCAUUUCUACAGUUGAUGAUUGCAUUUGAAGUUGCAAGAAAUGGCCUUCCAAGGAUGAUAGGAACUAAAUUAGCUUCCUUUACAGUAGGAUCUGUAUCAAGAACAACAAAAUCUACCGGAUAGUAGAAAUUAUCUACUUGAACUAAUACAUCCUCAAUUACUUCUCUUGGAAUUUUCACUGAUCUAUCUGCCAAAGAUAAAGUGAUUGCUGUUGGCUUUAACUCUCCAAGUCCCAGUUGCUUGUAGACUGAGUAUGGAAGCAAAUUCACACUUGCUCCCAAGUCUAGCAAGGCUUUCUCCACUACCUUUCCUCCAAUCAUGACUGAAAUGGUAGGACUUCCAGGGUCUUUGUACUUCAAAGGGGACUUACACUGUAAGAUUGCACUUACUUGCUCAGUCAAGAAGGCUUUCUUGUUUACAGUCAACCCUCUUUUGAUAGUACACAAGUCCUUUAGGAAUUUUGCAUACGUUGGAACUUGUUUGAUCAUAUCCAGCAGUGGAAUAUUAACUUUCACUUGUCUCAAUACUUCAAGGAUUUCAGCUGCAUUUCUAACCCCCUUUUUCCCCUGUAAUGCUUGAGGAAAAGGUGGAAAAGUUGAUUUCUUCAGCUUUUCUUCCUUCAGAAGCUCCUUCUUUUCUUCAUUGAUCUCACUCUCUUUAUCUUCCAUUUCCUUCCCUUUCUUUAUCUCUUCUUCUUUCUCAACAUGUGGCUUGGGUGUUGGCUGCUCAAUUUUCUUACCACUCCUUAGAGUGAUCAAAGCUUUCACUUCUUUCACCUGUGAUGAUUCUCCCUCAUGGCUUUCCACUUCAUGGACACCUUUGGGAUUUUGAUGAGGUUGAGAAGGAAAUCUUCCUUUUUCUUGCAGUGUAUUCAAAUUUGUAAGCCUUGAAAUUGAAUAUUGGAUGUUAUCAAACUUUUGGUUCAUAUCAUUUUGCAUUCCAUCCAUUCUUUUGUUCAACACACUCUCCAUUCUAUCCAUUCUUUGAUCCACUCUGUCCAUUCUUUGAUCAACUCGAGCAUUGGUGGCUUCUUGCUUUCCCACAAAAUCUCCCACUACCUUGCUGAGAUUAGCUAUUAUUUGUUCAAUACUUGAAGAUUGCUGAGAUGGUGGAUCCGGCUGUUGGUAUUGAGUUGCUCUGGCCUUCCAUGAGAAAUUUGGAUGAUUCCUCCAACUUGAAUUGUAGGUAUUUCCAUAUGGUGCAUUGUUAUUGGGCCUGAAUUGUCCAACAACAUUUGCUUGAUCUCUAUACAUUUCCCUUUCAGCUGAAAUUGCAGGGCACUCCUCUACCAAAUGUUCAAACGAUUGACAAUUGGGACACAACUUCACUUGCACUGGUGCUUCAGCAACAGCUUGCACUUCAUGCAUUCUUUUCAGCUCCAGCUCCUUCAAUCUUCUUGUCAUAGCUGCCAACUUUGCUUUCAUGUCAUCAUCUUCUUUUAAAUUAUACAUCCCAGCCUUUGCAUUGUAAGCAUUCAACUGAGACUUCAUCUUUCCCACUUCUCCUUUAGUUGGUUCAUCCCAUCCCCUUGAAACAUCAGCUACAUAGCUCAAGAAAUCCAUAGCUUCCUCUGGAUUUUUGCUCAUGAAAUCUCCUCCACACAUUGUCUCGAGGAGUUGCUUCAUUGAGGAUGACAUACCAUCAUAGAAAUAACUCACCAAUAGCCAAGUAUCAAAGCCAUGGUGAGGACAAGCAUUUAUAGCUUCCAUGUAUCUUUCCCAACACUCAUAGAAUUUCUCAUUCUCUUUAGCUGAAAAAUUUGAAAUUUGCCUUUUCAAGCCAUUUGUUCUAUGAGUAGGAAACAAUUUCUUAAGGAACUCAGCUUGUAAAUCAGUCCAAGAGCGGAUACUCCUUGGCCUUAAAGAAUUAAGCCAAAUUUUGGCCUUAUCCUUUAAAGUAAAAGGAAAUAACUUAAGCCUUAUCAAGUCAAUUGAAGCUCCUCCCUCUUGGAAUGUAUUACAAACAUCUUCAAAUUCCUUGAUGUGUGCAUACGGAUUCUCACUUUCCAUCCCAUGGAAAGUUGGUAGAAGUGGAACAAGGUAUGGUCUGAUCACUAGCUGCUCUGUAGGGGGCACUAUACAUGAUGGUGCACUCAUACGAGGUGGAUGCAUACGGUCCCUCAUUGAUCUGAAUUCAUUGAGAUUGUCUUGACGACCUUGGUGACUAUGCUGAUCUUCAGGUGCAGCCUCCAUGAUAUUCAAGAUUACUUCAAAUUCUCCUUUCUGAGGUGUAUCACACUUAACAAGCCUACCUCUAAUGUCUCGUAUCCACUUGGGCAUACACAACUAGUAUUCAGCUGCAACUAAAAUGAAAAUAGAGGACAACAAGAACAGAGGACUACAAUAGCAAAAUUAAACUAGACUAAAAUUUAAAAAGAUAAACUUAGAUUGUAAAAUAAACAAAGAAAGAAUGAAAAUUAGUAAAGUGAAAGAAACUUUACCAACUUGUGAUGAAAAUCACAAGUACUCAAAAAUGGUAUCACAAUGAACUUGACACUCAUUCCCCGGCAACGGCGCCAUUUGACUCAUGCCCAAUUGGUGUCUCAGCUGAUUUGUAUUCAGCUGGUGCUCCUUGAUUGAGGAAGUGAUCAACAAAAUUUAUACCUAUAACACCAUACACUAGGGUAGCAAAUACAAAGCUACUAUAGUAUAGUGGCUCUAAGGAUCGUUCACUGGGAAUGAUUUGCAAGCAAUCAAGGAUACCAAUUCCAAGUGAAUUGGUCUUGUUUCAUUUCACGGUUAGCUUAAGAAGUAAAACACAAAGUUUGAUUGGUAAAGGUUUAGACUUAAACUAACUAACUUAACAGAAGUUUGGAAUAAUUUAGGAAGAAAAGCAUUCCUUGGAGAUUUAGGUUCACUGGGGUGGUUCCUCAUGCAAAAGACAUAGCUCCGGUCAGAUGGUUCAUUUCCUCGCAUUAGAGAUUCAACUUAGAGUCAAUUCUCUAACCGGUGAUGUNNNNNNNNNNNNNNNNNNNNNNNNNNNNNNNNNNNNNNNNNNNNNNNNNNNNNNNNNNNNNNNNNNNNNNNNNNNNNNNNNNNNNNNNNNNNNNNNNNNNNNNNNNNNNNNNNNNNNNNNNNNNNNNNNNNNNNNNNNNNNNNNNNNNNNNNNNNNNNNNNNNNNNNNNNNNNNNNNNNNNNNNNNNNNNNNNNNNNNNNNNNNNNNNNNNNNNNNNNNNNNNNNNNNNNNNNNNNNNNNNNNNNNNNNNNNNNNNNNNNNNNNNNNNNNNNNNNNNNNNNNNNNNNNNNNNNNNNNNNNNNNNNNNNNNNNNNNNNNNNNNNNNNNNNNNNNNNNNNNNNNNNNNNNNNNNNNNNNNNNNNNNNNNNNNNNNNNNNNNNNNNNNNNNNNNNNNNNNNNNNNNNNNNNNNNNNNNNNNNNNNNNNNNNNNNNNNNNNNNNNNNNNNNNNNNNNNNNNNNNNNNNNNNNNNNNNNNNNNNNNNNNNNNNNNNNNNNNNNNNNNNNNNNNNNNNNNNNNNNNNNNNNNNNNNNNNNNNNNNNNNUGGCUUGUAAUGGCUGCAACUUUUUCGUUUCAACUCCAAAUUGCACACCGUUUGAAGCAUUGGAUUGUUGACUUCCUGAGCUUUGAAAUGGUAUAUAGCAUGCAUCAUUUGGACUUCAGAAAGUGCUCCAAAAGUGGCUGCUACGACUGUCAUCAAGAAUAAGCUUCAUGACUGAUCCUCUUUGCUUUUUCUCCUUGCAAUCCGGAUUCACUCUUGGCAAUUGAAUUCUAAGCUUUGCCCAAGAUUCCUCAUAGCUCUCCUCAUUCUUGACUUGCUUUGGUGAUCAAAAUACUAACAAAAACACCAAAACUUACACAAAGUGAUCAAAAUUGCUUUAAAGGAUCCUUAACAUGCCAAUUGAGUUAAAAGGCCUAAACUACUACUCAAAAGUGGUAAAAAGGAUUAAUUAAAGGCUAUCAAAUAGCACUUUUUGAGUAGUAAUCACUUCAGCAUCUAUUUCACCAGCUACAGUUGAGUGAUGGGGCUCCCGACACUUCUUUCCCUGUGGCGAUUACUCCUACGUCUCCAGAUCGAGCUAGCAUGUUGUCUCUAUGCUUUCCAGAGGAGAUCAUGAGUGAUGGGAUGAUUCUUGAUCCUAUUGAGGUGAUUGAUGGAGUUGUUCCCCAUGAUGAGUACCGUGAUGAGAUGGACAUGAUGACCGUGAGCCAGAUUGCCGGCAUUGUUCAGCUUCAGCCUGUUUCAGCAUUUGAUAUGUUUGGGGUAUCUACCAUUGAGGUUUUUGAGGGGACUCAGACUCUUCCUGUUCCAGAGCUUCCAGAGGAUGAUAGUAGUUUGUUUGAGGGCAUUGUUAGCCCAGUUGAGGGAGCGUCCGACCUUGUGGACCCACCUCUUUCUUUUGAUGUUUUAUCGGGAUUUGUCUCCCGCUCUGACGAUGUUUCUGUUGCUUCAUUUAUGGAUUUGAGCAUUUUUGAGUAUUCGCCUGUCUUUUGUGAUAGUAUCUCUACGUCUGCACCCCACUCACCCAUUACACAGAUAUUUGAUAUAGAUGAUGAGAUUGCACAGCCCAAUUCGGAUAGGGACUCUUUUGAUCAUGACUCUGGUCCCAUAGAUGAGAGAGUUUCACCUGCUGCAGGGGGCGUUGAGACUGUUGAUUUUGGCACAGAGGAUCAGCCUAGAGAGCUGAAGAUUGGUUCACCCCUAUCUACAGAUGAGAGAGAUAGACUCAUCCAUUUACUCAGGACAUACUUGGAUGUCUUUGCAUGGUCUUAUGAGGACAUGCCAGGUCUUGAUCCCUCUAUAGUCCAGCACCAUUUACCUACCCUACCACAUGCUAGACCAGUUAAGAAAAAAUUGAGAUGGUUGCAUCCACGUUGGAGUCUACAGGUAAAAGAGAAGAUUCAGAAACAACUCAGUGUUGGGUUCAUAUCAGUAGUUGAGUAUCCAGAGUGGUUGGCUAAUGUCGUCCCUGUUCCUAAAAAGGAUGGCAAAGUUAGGGUUUGUGUUGACUUCAGAGAUCUCAAUAAAGCCAGCCCUAAAGAUGACUUUCCCCUUCCACACAUUGAUUUGUUGGUUGAUGGCACCGCAGGCCAUUCGAUGUUGUCUUUCAUGGAUGGGUUUUCAGGGUAUAAUCAGAUUUUGAUGGCUCCAGAGGAUAUGGAGAAGACAACCUUUAUUACUGAGUGGGGUACCUACUGUUAUAGAGUUAUGCCAUUUGGGUUGAAGAACGCAGGAGCCACUUAUCAGAGAGCCGCUACCACUUUGUUUCAUGACAUGAUGCAUAGGGAUGUCGAGGUUUACGUGGAUGAUAUGAUUUUGAAAUCCCGAGGUAGAGCAGAUCACCUAAAUGCUUUAGAGAGAUUCUUUGAGAGGAUCCGGAAGUUUAGAUUGAGGUUGAAUCCCAAGAAGUGUACCUUUGGAGUGACUUCUGGGAAGUUAUUGGGACAUAUAGUCAGUGAGCGGGGCAUAGAGGUCGACCCAGAUAAAAUCAAAGCCAUACUUGACAUGCCUGCACCAAAGACUGAGAAAGAGAUUAGAGGUUUUCUGGGCAGAUUACAGUACAUUAGUCGGUUCAUAGCCAGAUUGACAGACAUAUGUGAGCCUAUCUUUCGUCUUUUGAGGAAGAACCAGCCAACAGUUUGGAAUGAUGACUGUCAGUUUGCAUUUGAGAAGAUCAAGGAGUAUUUGCUUUCUCCUCCUGUUUUAGUGCCUCCUACGCCAGGACGUCCACUUCUUCUAUAUUUGUCAGUUUCAGACAUGGCAUUGGGAUGUAUGUUAGCUCAGAUUGAUGACUUAGGAAAGGAGCGAGCUAUUUACUACCUAAGUAAGAGGAUGUUGGAGUAUGAGAUGAAAUAUGUUAUGAUUGAGCGCCUAUGCUUAGCACUAGUUUGGGCUACCAGGAGAUUGAGGCAUUACAUGACGGAGUACUCAGUACAUUUGAUAUCCCGCUUGGACCCGUUGAGAUACUUGUUUGAUAGACCUGCAUUGACUGGUAGAUUGAUGAGAUGGCUUGUACUUUUGACAAAGUUCGAUAUUCAGUAUGUUUCUCAGAAGUCUAUUAAGGGAAGUAUUGUUGCCGAUCACUUAGCCUCACUACCGACAUCUGAGGACAGACCAGUUGAUGAUGAUUUUCCAGAUGAGGAGUUUGUUGCUAUGACCAGCUUAUCGGGAUGGUGCAUGUACUUCGAUGGUGCAGCCAAUCAGUCAGGGUAUGGGAUUGGUGUUCUAUUGGUAUCCCCUCAGGACGAUCACAUUCCGAGGUCCGCUCGUUUGACAUUCUCUGAUCGACAUCCUGCCACGAAUAACAUAGUUGAGUAUGAGGCUUGUAUCCUUGGUUUAGAGACUGCAUUGGAGCUUAACAUUAGACAGAUGGAGGUGUUUGGUGACUCCAAUCUGGUACUCAGGCAGAUUUAGGGGGAUUGGAAGACUAGGGACGUGAAGCUUAGGCCAUAUCAUGCUUAUUUAGAGUUGUUGGUUGCGAGAUUUGACGAUUUGAGAUAUGUUCAUCUGCCUAGAGCGCAGAACCGAUUUGCUGACGCCUUAGCUACUUUAGCUUCCUCCGUGGACAUUCCGAUUGAUGUAGUCAUACGUCCAUUACUGAUUGAGUCCAGGUCUGCACCCGCCUAUUGUUGUCUGAUUGGAGAGACAGAGGUCCAGGAUGACCUACCUUGGUAUCAUGACAUUUAUCAGUUCCUUAGAUCUAGCACAUACCCUGAGGUAGCCACUACCAAGGAUCGGAGAGCACUGAGGCAUUUGGCUACUAGAUUUGUGAUUUCCGGAGAUACCUUGUACAGACGAUCAGCUGAUGGUAUGCUUCUGUUGUGUUUAGAUCGAGCCUCUGCAGAUCGAGUGAUGAGAGAGGUUCAUUCAGGAGUUUGUGGUCCGCAUAUGGGAGGACACAUGCUAGCUCGUAAGAUUAUGAGGACGGGUUACUUCUGGUUGACUAUGGAGACAGAUUGUUGUCAGUUUGUCCAGAAAUGCCCAGAGUGUCAGAUUCAUGGUGAUCUCAUACAUGCACCACCAUCAGAGUUACACGCCUUGACUUCGCCAUGGCCAUUUUCAGUAUGGGGUAUUGAUAUUAUUGGGAAAGUUUCACCAAAAUCUUCCAGUGGUCAUGAGUUCAUCCUAGUUGCCAUAGACUAUUUCACCAAGUGGGUGGAAGCCGCAUCAUAUGCGAGGUUGACAUCUGCUAGGGUUGCCAGUUUUAUCAGAUCACACAUCAUUUGCCGCUAUGGGGUUCCUCAUGAGUUGAUUUUCGACAGAGGGGCGCACUUCCGAGCUGAGGUAGACACUUUGUUGCAGGAGUAUGACAUCCGACAUCAUAGAUCUUCAGCAUAUAGGCCACAGACCAAUGGGGCAGUAGAGGCUGCAAACAAGAAUAUUAAGAGGAUUUUGAGGAAGAUGGUUGAGACCUCUCGAGAUUGGUCAGAAAAGCUUCCUUUUGCAUUGUGGGCAUACCGCACCUCUUUUCGCACUUCUACAGGAGCUACGCCUUACUCCCUAGUGUAUGGUAUGGAGGCUGUUUUGCCAGUCGAGACAGAGAUGGGCUCAUUGAGAGUAGCCCUUGAGCAGCAGAUUUCUGAGACAGAGUGGGCUCAGGCUCGAUUUGAUCAGCUUAACCUUUUAGAUGAGAGGAGAUUGAGAGCAAUAGAUCAUGUUCAGGCCUAUCAGAGAAAGAUGGCUCGUGCCUUCAAGAAACGAGUCAAGCCUAGACCAUUGCAAAAAGGGGACUUAGUUUUGAGGAUUCUCAGAGGUUUGAUUGGAGACCCUAGAGGAAAGUUUAGACCUAGUUGGAGUGGGCCUUAUGUUAUCCGGGAGUUGACUCCAAAAGGGGCUGCAUGGUUGACAGACUUAGAUGGAAACCAAUUUUCAGAGCCUACCAAUGUGGAUCAGCUGAAGAAGUAUUAUGUUUGAGACUGUGGUCGUAGGAUGGGUGGCCACCAUUUCGGUUAGCCUCAUACUUUAUCACCUCUAUAUAUUAGACCGUUGCUAGCCCAUUGAGCUUCGCAUGGUAUGUUAUAGCCUUAUUUCUUUCUUAUAGCUUUGAUUACCAUUUCUAUACCCGGGUUGGGGCCCUUUGAUGUAUAUGUAUGCUUUGCUAGGAAAGUCUCAUGAGCUUUAGACUUAUAGGUCUAUCUUCUCAUUUUGUUACCAUCCUCUUAUCACCCUAUUUGUUCUAUUUUAUUAUCACCACAUAUUCAUUCUCUUUCUUGUCCCUAUCAUUAUUUGCUUCAUCUUAUCUAUUCUCUUCCUUGGGUUGAUGAUUCUUCACGUCUUAGUGCAAGGAGGGUUGUCAUAUCACUCUAUUCAUUCCAUCAUUUGACAUUGAUUCGGAGAUUUUAGUUUGAGAGGUUAUCUCAGGGGUUGGGGUUCAUGUAUCCAUCAGUGGUCAGAGAGAGUUUGUUCAUUCCUUAUAUUUUUCCAUUGGAGUUUGAUUUAUUGAUGAUCAGAGCAUGCGCAAAAAAAAUCAAAAAAAAAAAAAAAAAAAAAAAAAAAAAAAAAAGCGCAAGGAUAUGCUCAUGUAUGGUAUCUCAUUCCAUUGGGUAUUUAUGCCACCUUUUGAGGUUCAUUUAUUGGGUAUAUUUGUCAUUAUGGGUUUUUGUGAGUUUUUAUGAGUUUUUUCAGUCCUUGAGCCACUCCUGUUAUGCAUUUGGAGUGUCGAGGGUUCAUAUGAGAGUUCUAUGAGAUCCUAUGCUUCUUAGAUCAUGAUUGAUAUAUUUUAGGUAUGAGAGAUGAGUGACCUUUUUACUAGGGUCUCCGGAUCAUUGUCUUAUACCCACCAUUCCAUCAUUGGUGAUAUGACUUUCCUUUAUUGUACUAACAUGGGUUGAUCAUCACUCAUUCCACUUUCCCAUUGUUUUCUUUUGUAUCCCAUUACCUCUUUCCAGAUCUUUGUUCCACCUUUUAUUCAUUCCUUACAUAUUGAUACCCAUUACUGAUUUGAUACCUUCUUGACAUCAUUCACAUAUUUCAUUGAUGGCUUGACCAUUCAUCCUUUCNNNNNNNNNNNNNNNNNNNNNNNNNNNNNNNNNNNNNNNNNNNNNNNNNNNNNNNNNNNNNNNNNNNNNNNNNNNNNNNNNNNNNNNNNNNNNNNNNNNNCCAUUCAUCAUUUCUCUCAUUCGUUAUCGACAUUCCCUUUGGUANUCUAAGUCCAUGACUCAUGAGAUUUUCUAUGCAUACAUCUGUGCACGAGGGUACGGGUUUGAUCAUUGGGUAUUUGAGCNUAGUUUCCCUUUCAUUUCUUUCACCCUAUCACCUUGACNUAUGUUACGUCCCGUGUCUUAAGACCACCCUGAGGCCAUGAGAUCAGACAUUAUCUUUGACAGUCUUCACUUGGACAGACUUUUGUAGAUUGGUUGAAGUAUGGUCGUUACUAUGUUAUCUUUUAUGGAAGAUACUUUUGGAAGCAUUUGGUCUCUCUCUUGCUUGGCAUAUUGAUGUUUGAUGGAUUUUUGGGUUUGGAGACAGUUCAUUGAGGAUAUUAGAUUCAUCAUUUGGUUGUACAUCAGAUAUCCAUACUAGGGCAUAUUCCCCUUUCAUUUGGUUGAGAUGAGCCCCUAGUGGAGCACUUUCUUUGAGUCUGGGUAUUUUCACCGAUCAGAGAUCCCUAGUGAGGUAUGUUGAGACUAUAUCAGUUCUAGUGGAGCAUCGUUGAGCCCCUAGUGAUUCCAUUCCCGGAAUACUUCUGAGAUAGACUAGUGGAUUAUUACUGAGUUGGAGGCAGUUUUCAGUGCAGUGUAUAGACCAGGCAUACUGGGGCAUAUUUCCCCAUUUUGAGGUUACCAGAUUCCUAUCAGAUUCAGUCAGGGAUUCAUCAGAGACAUGUUUCUAUUUUUGAGAUUACCACAUUUCUCAUCAUUUUGGCUAUUCAUUUGAGAUUAGAUUUAGAGUGUCUCCCUUGAGGCAUUGGUCGAUACAUCAUUCUGACUUCUUAGCGGAUUAUUGUUGAGCUGAGGAUAGUUGAUUGAUGAUGUCGGAUUCAUCCUUUGGUUGUGCAUCAUAUAUUCACACUGGGGCAUAUUCCCCCAUUCCUCCGAGAUUCUUAUCUGUUAUUGUAUACGGUACGAGGAUGGAUGAUCAUUGUUAGUUUGUUUACCUCACGACUUCGACAUUAGAUUAUCCACACUGAGGCAUAUUCCACUCUCCUUGAUGAGAUUGUGUUUGGACAGCGAUACGAGGAUGGAUGAUCAUUGUUAAUUUGUUUGCCUCACGACUUCGACAUCCGAUAUCCAUACUGGGGCAUAUUCCCCUCUCCAUUACGAGAUUUAUUUGGGCAGUGAUAUGAGGAUGGAUGACUGGUGUCGGUUGUUUAGCUUAUGACUUUGACGUUAGAUCUUAUACUGGGGCAUAUUUCCCCCAUUUUCUUUGAGUAUCCUUGAGAUUGAGACAGUGGCCAGCUUGGUUUUAGAUUGAGCACUAGCCUAGAGCUUCCGACGAUCGACUGUAUCAGGGCCUCCCUACAUGGAUUUGUUGAGAUAGAGACGGAUCGCAUCAGGUUUCACCCGAGGAGUGUGGGUGGAUCCUUUAGCCAGAUGUUCAUGAGACAGAUUUAUUUUCGUCAUUGUUACCUUGUAGAUUGGAUUAUCCAGAUGAGCAGUAUUUUACACACUUUGAGGUUUACUUUUAGAUGAGCCAUGAUAUACACUCUUUGAGAUUUACCUUUUGAGAUUCAUCGACAGAGCAGCUUUUCAGACAUAGAGGGUUUCUUCAGUUUAGACUUUUCAGAGGUUUGUCACGAUGCAUCAGUUUCUGACCUAUUGAUUUCAGCGGAUGAUUGAUUUACUGGUUGUUUCGGCAGUGUGAGCACCCUGGAUACUGGGGCAUAUUUCCCUUCUUAGUUUCAGUAGUCCGACCCUUGACAUUUUGAGUAUGUGGCUUUGAGCCAAUUUAUUUCAUGUCCACUUUCAAGUUGGUCUUCUCUAUUAUUCCCUUCUAGGCCCUGAGCCUCAUAGCUUUGAGUUAUUCAUUCCUUCUAGACCCCGAGUCUUAUAGCCUUGAGCAUCCUUUUUCCCUUAGGCCCUGAGCCCGCUAGCCCUGAGCUAUCAUUUCCUAUAGACCCAGAGUCUUUCCAGCUCUUAGCUGAGCUUUCAUCACUUGGUCGCCCAUGAGUGGUUUGACCUGGAGUUUGCGUAUCGCAUUCUCCUUCUAGCCGAUCAGUCAUAGAGCCCUGAGCUAUUCAUCGACCCAGAGUCAUUUUCCAUCUUGACCCAGAGUCAUUCAUAGCACCUCGAGCCCUGAGCUCACGACCCGGAGUCAUUUGCAUUAUUCACAUCCCUAAGAUGUUUCGUUUUCAUCAUUCUAGCCACUUGUGAGUGGCCUCGACCCGACAUCUUGAGUCGGAAAGUAUCCUGAUCGGCUAUCUAUUUAGAGCCCGGAGCUCUCGACCCAGAGUCACUUUCCAUUUCGACCCAGAGUCAUUGUUUCCUAUUUUAGAGCCCGGAGCUCUCGACCCAGAGUCACUUUCCAUUUCGACCCAGAGUCAUUCUUUCCUAUUUUAGAGCUUAGAGCUCUCGACCCAGAGUCACUUUCCAUUUCGACCCAGAGUCAUUGUUUCCUAUUUUAGAGCCCGGAGCUCUCGACCCAGAGUCACUUUCCAUUUCGACCCAGAGUCAUUAUUUCCUAUUUUAGAGCCCGGAGCUCUCGACCCAGAGUCACUUUCCAUUUCGAACCAGAGUCAUUCUUUNNNNNNNNNNNNNNNNNNNNNNNNNNNNNNNNNNNNNNNNNNNNNNNNNNNNNNNNNNNNNNNNNNNNNNNNNNNNNNNNNNNNNNNNNNNNNNNNNNNNAGCUUUUAGAAUACACUUGGCCCAUUAGGCACUACCCUAGGCCCACUUAGUCUCACUUUAGACCCGUUUAGGCACACUAGGCCUACGAAGACUUUAUUUAUUUAUUUAUUUAUUAUUUAUUUAUUUAUUUGGUUUUUAGUUUUAAUUUUAUGAUUAUCAUUCACUUUUUAUUGGUUAUCUUCCUCUUUAUAUCAUUUUCCUUAACUUAUUUAUUUAUUUAUUAUUUUUACCAUUUUUUAAUUUAUUUACUUAUUUAUCUAUUCAUGCAAUUAUUUAACUUCAAAAAUUUCAUGUUUUUGCAAGGAAACUUACCAUUGGAGUUUAAGGAAGGCGGGACUCUCCUUGGAAGGUUUUGGAGGGGAAUUUGAAAUUGGGAAGAUUGCUUUUGAUUGGAGGAUUUAAAAAAAGAAGAGAAGAAGAAAGGAAAGAGGAUAAUUUUCCUUUUUGGAAACAAAUUUAGGUCUUGAGGGGUGAUAUAUAUAGGUGAGAAAAGGAAAAGAAUAGGGGGAUUUUUCUAGGGGGGCAGGGCACACGGAAUUUUGAAAAAAAAGCAAGGGACUUCGAACGGAGCUCGGGCUGUCAUUUAAUCAUCAAGAGAGGAUUUUCUCUUUCACUUCAAAGGUUAGUUUUCUAUAUAGUACUUUUAUUUAGCCUAGAUUUUUUUUUUUUUUUUUUUUUUUGGAAGUUUUAGUUUUUGAUUAAUUCUUUGUGUUAAAGUUUAUAUUAUUUUCUUUUUAAAUCCCCAAUUAGUUUAAUUCUAAUCUAUCUUUUAGUUUAAGUUUGUUAAUGAUUUUAAUUCUUAAGUUUAAAUAAUCCUAUCGAAUAAAGUUUGUAUUUUUAAUCCCAAUUAGUUUGAUUUUAAUUUGUUUUUUAGUUUAAAUAUAUUUUGUUGAUCUUAAUUCUUGACUUUAAAUAAUCACGUUAAAUAAAGUUUGUGUUUUUAAUCUCAAUUAGUUUGAUUUCAAUUCGUUUUUAGUUUAAAUACAUUUUGCUGAUCUUAAUUCUUUAGUUUAAAUAAUCAUAUCGAAUAAAGUUUGUAUUUUUAAUCCCAAUUAGUUUGAUUUUAAUUUGUUUUUUAGUUUAAAUGUAUUUUGUUGAUCUUAAUUCUUUACUUUAAAUAAUCACGUUAAAUAAAGUUUAUGUUUUUAAUCUCAAUUAGUUUGAUUUCAAUUCGUUUUUAGUUUAAAUACAUUUUAUUGAUCUUAAUUCUUAAGUUUAAAUAAUCAUAUCGAAUAAAGUUUGUAUUUUUAAUCCCAAUUAGUUUGAUUUUAACUUGUUUUUUAGUUUAAAUGUAUUUUGUUGAUUUUAAUUCUUAAGUUUAAAUAAUUGUAUUGAAUAAAGUUUGUAUUUUUAAUCCCAAUUAGUUUGAUUUCAAUUCAUUUUUAAUUUAAAUGCAUUAGUUGAUCUUAAUUCUUUGUUUUAAAUAAUCACGUUAAAUAAAGCUUGUAUUUUUAAUCCCAAUUAAUUUGAUUUCAAUUCGUUUUUUAGUUUAAAUAUAUUUUGUUGAUCUUAAUUCUUGACUUUUAAUAAUCACGUUAAAUAAAGUUUGUGUUUUUAAUCUCAAUUAGUUUGAUUUCAAUUCGUUUUUAGUUUAAAUACAUUUUGUUGAUCUUAAUUCUUAAGUUUAAAUAAUCAUAUCGAAUAAAUUUUGUAUUUUUAAUCCCAAUUAAUUUGAUUUUAAUUCGUUUUUAGUUUAAAUGUAUUUUGUUGAUUUUAAUUCUUUACUUUAAAUAAUCACGUUAAAUAAAGUUUGUGUUUUUAAUCUCAAUUAGUUUGAUUUCAAUUCGUUUUUAGUUUAAAUGCAUUAGUUGAUCUUAAUUCUUAAGUUUAAAUAAUUAUGUUAGAUAAAGUUCAUGUUUUUAAUCCCAAAAUAGUUUAUUUUUAAUUUAUUUGUUAGUUUAAAUAUGUAUGUGAUUUUAAUUUAUUAGUUUAAAUAAUCAUGUUAGAUAAAGUUUAUAUUUUUUUUAAUUCUAAAUUAGUUCAGUUUUAACCUAUCUUUUAGUUUAAGUAUAUUUGUGAUUUUAAUUCAUUAGUUUAAAUAAUCUUGUUAGAUAAAGUUCAUAUUUGAAAUUCCGAUUUAGUUUAGCUUUUAUUUAUUUUUAAUUUGGAUGUGUUUGUAAUUGUAAUUUAGUAGUUUAAUUAAUCUUAUUAAAUAAAGUUCAUGUUUUUAAUUACAAUUUAAUUUAGUUUUAAUUUGUUCUUCACUUGUAUGUGUUUGUGAUUUGAAUACAUUAGUUUAAUUAAUCCCGUUAGAUAAAGUUUAAUCUUGAUUUAAUUUAUUUUUUUAGUCUAGAGGCAUUUAUGUGUUUAGUUAAUCUUAUGUUAAUUAUGGAUUGUUAUUCUCAAUUUAUGCGCUUCUUGAAUCCUUGUUGCUAAUUCUUGAUGGAUAUUUCAUUAGCUUAUUUGAUCUAAAUAUUAAUAAUUUAUUGCUUUGAUAGUUUCCUUUUUGUUCAAAGGCCAUUGGAAAAUCAUGAAGAUUGGCCUCUACCAUCACCAUUAUCAUUUUUGUUAAUUACUAAAAAAAUUUUACUUUGAGGUUUCAUUUUUGUUUUGUUGGGUAUUUUAUUUCUUAUAUUUUAUUUUUUCCAAAUUAAUUCCUUUUAUUUUAAAAUAAAAUACUUUUCUCAAAAAAAUCAUUUUAAAAAUCUAUUUCAAAAACUCAUUUAGAGUCCUCAAGAUCAAAAUCUUUUUUUUUUUAUUAUUUAAAAAUAAUAUGCAACCAUAUCUUGUUCGGUUUGCAUCCUUCUCGGUUUUCAACAAAAAUUUUGGUUUUGAACAAAAACACGAAUCAAAGCUUGUGGUCCCAAAUAAUGGGAUAAUUCUGGGCUAAAUUUGUGUAUAUUAAUUUGGGGAAUUGGUGAAACCCCUACAUAAGAAAAUCUUUUCAAAAAUUAUUUUUGUUGCCAUCUUUGUCACUUGUUGAAAUUAUGUCUAUUUUUUUUAGGAAUUGUAUACAUGAUGAGUGUGAUAAUUAAUGUUUUCAUAUGCUUUGAUAAUUUUUGUUAUGCUAAUUAGAUAACAAGCAUGCUAGGGUUUCUUUAUUUUAUUAUUAUCUAAUCCCUCAUGUCUUAUGGAAGCGCAUUGUAAGUUAUCUAUGCUAUCCAGGUACGCCCCCUAAUGACCUACUUUCUAAAUUUCGUAAACAAUCAUGUCACUGUGAAGUAUGCAUAUGUUUGAUAAUCCUUAGGUGUUUAGAUGUAUGCUUGAUUCACUAUGAUUAAAUACAUGUUGUGUGUUAUACUUCUAUAUUAACUCUGAUGUUUUAUGAUAGCGCUUGAAGAGCGGUUCAGGUACGCACCCUAACUCUCAGUUUUUGUGAUUUGAUCUUGUUUAGCAUGCAAAUCUUUUGAAAUCACCUAGUCUACCUAGGUAUCCAUAAUUAACCGAUUAAUUGCCAUAUUCCCCUUAACUUAAUUAGUAGAGACCUUUUUAGGGCUUAGAAGGGUGCUACCUCUUAGAGGUACCUUCCCAAUAAGUAACCUGAUUCCCGGACCAAGACUUGGGUUUUCAAAGACACGCUUUUCCAAAAAUUAUGGAGUCAUUUUUUUUAGGGUUUUAUUUCUUGUUUUAUUUUCCCUUCAAAAAUAAAAAUAAAAUAAGUGGCGACUCCAACUUUUUUUUUUCAAAAAUCAAUUUUUCACAAAAUAAUAAAAAGCGAGUCUCGCCGAUCGAGUGGGGGCGCACGUGAAAAAUGCGGGUCCACACAUUGGAAGAAUUAUAUCUGGAUGGGAACCAUUUCAGUAGUCUACCUGCUGGCAUCAAUCGACUUACCAAUCUAAGAGUCCUUGACUUGAGUCACUGCAAGAACCUUCAACAAAUUCCAGAGCUUCCAUCAAGUCUACGUUUCUUAGAUGCGCAUUGUUCGGGUGGUAUUUCAUCAAGGCCCUCGCCUCUGCCUAUUCAUUCUAUGGUCAAUUGCUUCAAACCAGAAAUUCCGGUAUGAUUCUCAUGCCAGGUUCCUUUUUCUUUUGUGCCCAUUGAAUUUACAUGGUGCUUUUGUGCAGGUACCCAGGAUUCAUGCUGGUUGUACAUUCUUUGUAGGCAAUGGAAUUAGCAUUGUUGUUCCUAGAAGUAGUGGAAUUCUAGAGUGGAUAAGGUAUCAGAGUAUGGGAGGUUAUAAAGUAACAAUAGAGCUCCCCCCGAAUUGGUAUGAAAAUAAGGAAUUGUUGGGAUUUGCUUUAUGCUGUGUUUAUGAAUCCAACAAUGGAUUUGUCUUUGAGUCUCGGUAUGAAUCAACUGAUACAUCUGAUAAUGAGCCUGACAAUGGAUCUGCAUAUGAAUCUCAGCAUGAAUCAGCUGAUACAUCUAAUAAUGAACCUGACAAUGGAUCUGCCUAUAAAUCAGCUGAUACAUCUGAUAAUGAACCUGACAAUGGAUCUGCCUAUGAAUCUACCUAUGAAUCUCAGAAUGAAUCAGCUGAUACUUCUAAUAAUGAACCCACCAAUGGAUCUGCCUAUGAAUCUGAAAAUGAAACAGCUCAUACAUCUGAUAAUGAAGAACCAGUGGAGUUCUAUUGUAAUUUGAGUAUCCGAGGAAAUAAUCAAUCAACAGUCGUGGAUUCUUUCAAAUUGGGUUCUUACUGUGCUAAUGAUGUUGCAUCAGAUAUAGUGUGGGUGAUAUUUUAUCCCAAGGUAGCUUUUAAGGAAGCUAUUAAGGAAUGGUAUCGCUCUAAUCAAUGGACACACUUUAUGGCUUCAUUUGGCGGUUUCGGAAGAGUGGAACAGUGCAUGAUCCGUCUUAUAUAUGCAGAAGAUUAGGAACAAAAGCAUCCAAAAAUGGCGCAAGACAGUUCUUCUCAUGGGAGUUUUGGUGAGCAUGGAUCAGCAACAGAAGAUACUAAUAGUAAAGCUCAUAAUAAAAGGAAUCCCACAGAACAGAGCCGAUGAGAGGAGUCACACCAUAAAAGAUUCAGAGGAACCCAAGACUGAUCUCAAGUUUUAUGCUCAACCACACUGGCAUCACCAAUGUUCUCUUUACUGGUAAUUCAUCUUCCUUUCUCUUUUUUUCCCCAAGAUAAAUAAAAAUUCAAGGCUAUCACCCAUGGGCGCAAACUGAUGGAGUUAACCCUGCUUCUUAGGAUUCUGGCAUUCAUCAGGGUCCAUUCCUUAAGCUUAUAUGAAUUAACGACUUUCCUGGAAAAGAAAUCAAAAUUCACGAAAUCAAAAUCAGAUAGUUUACUGAAAGUUUGGAAUCCACAUAUUACUGCUUCUUGUUUUUUUUCCUACUUCAAAUGGAAUUCCAUUUAUGUAGUACAAGAAAUUUCUUUAUUAAAUGAUGCUUGCUUUGAAAGGAAUCCUAUAUUUGUUUAGAUACAACUAUUGUCUCGCCUUACGCAAGCCAAUGAAAAGAGUUCAUCUCUCCUCGAACCACUCAUGGCACAUGAAUCCAAUCUGUCUAAAAUGCUAUAGUUGAGUUUUCAAAUCUGUUGCAAAUUUUUGCUACUCCCAGCCAUGAACACUUUUCUUAUAAAAAUUAGAUGUUUGAGUUGAAAGCAAAUUUUUGCAUUCUACUUGUAUAUGUUUUUGCCUAUAAAAGGUUCCAGAUUCAUUGAGUUCAGAAUAGCAAUAACUCAAUUGUUAGCAUUUUAGGUUCGAUUAAAUCUAACAAUACUUGGAGGAAACUCAAAUGCAGGGUUGAAAUCUAAAGAAUGUGGGUUAAUUAUUUAAUCAAUUGCACGUUUUUCUUGUCAGGAUAAUCACGUGGAGGCACCUAAAGAGCUUCCUAAGAAGACUAAGUUGUUCUUUGGUCAUUCUAUCGGUAAGUAGGAUGUUGAAUUCUAUGCUAAAGAAAAAAUAAUACUGCCCCUAUAUGAAUGAUAGUGAGUAUCAAUAGUAUGAGCUCUUGUUUUUCAAUUAGAAUUUUCAUGCUUGCAACUACACUUGAUUUUCUAUGUUGAAAUAGUGAAGAUUAAAUUGGAAACAUGUUAUAGUCAACUUUCUUUAAUUAUCAGAUUAUCUAUUUAUAUCUAAUUAGCUCAAUAUGUUAAGGAAAUUUCUAAAAACUAAAAACAAAGUCAAAAUUGAGAUAGGCCCCCUCUUUUCUUAAUGUAUAAGAGGUGGAUGAGGUUUUCAAUGAUUGAUUUAGUUUUCAAUAUUUGCAGUUUUGAGGGAGAAAGUAGAUUCACUCAAAUACAAGGUUCAGAAAGCUAAAGCUAUAUCAAAAGCUGCUAAAAAGGAGUAGUAAAGUGAAAAUAAAAAGCUGAAUGAGUUGCGAGCUCAUUUUAAGGCCAGAAAUGAUAUUCACCAAGAAGCAUACACACAUUUGCAGAGUUUGAGGAAGAACUUGUCUGAGAAGGUAUGGUCUAUAAGCUAUGCAUGGAAAUAUUUACAAUUGAUGGAUUGGAAUAUAUGUAUGAUAUGCUGAUGUUUUUAAUGACAUGUUGGAAGUCUGCCAUGAGUUCCAUAUAAAGAUAUGUGACUACUAUACAAGAGUACCAUCAAAACUUGAUAAAAUUGACACACAACCACUAUAUGGGUUUUCUUCAGUCAAGUUUGAUAAUUCUAAUGGUAGGAUUAGAUUUAUCUUAGAGAAAAAAAUAUCAAGUUUGAAAUUGAUUAUGCACACUCUUAGUGUCAUGACAAAAAUGACUUCUGAAAUGUGAAUCUCAAUGAUAGAACACACCUAGAGGGGGAGGGGGGGUGAAUAGGUGUUUUUGUCCAAUUUAAAGGUCUCCCAACACAAGUUAACUAACCUUAACAAAUUUUACAAUUUUUCCUUCUCUUUACAAACACUUAAAAGCACAAAUUAGAAAUCACAUGCAAAUAUGAAUGUAACAGUACUCCCCAACAAAAAUAAAAUACAAUUCACAUGCACAUGUUCCAACACUCCCUAACACAAAACCUUUAAACAGUUUUUGAUUAAUAACAAGAAUAAAAUAUCUCAAGUAUACCUUUGAACAAUAUUCAGAAACAGCAUUAAAGGCAACCUAUAUCUAUGUUACAUCAACAUUCAACCAAAAAUUAGAUGUCCAAAUUAUCAAAGAUAGUUAAAACUGAAAAUGAAAUGAAGAGGAGAAUGAGAGACAAUGAGACAACACCAAAAUUUACGUGGAAAACCUCCUAGGAGGUCAAAAACCACAGGCUUACAACUGAUAAAAAAUUCCACUAUGAAGGGCAAUCAAGGUCUACAAGGAUUUACCUAGCUCAAGAUUUCCAAUCCCUCACAAACUACUUGACAAGCACUUUCACACCUCUCCACCACGCCUUCAUCUUCAGGAACAUGCUUGGAGUCCUUCCCAAGCUUGAUCUCAGCCUUCUUCUCGAAGCUCCAUCAAGAAGAAAAUGGGUUUUCACCCAAGCCCAAAUGAAUGAGAGAUGAAUGUUCAAAGAACUCAACCCAUUUUUCUUUUUAGAAAAUCCAUUAGAAAAAUUUUCUUGAAGACUUGAAUGAGAUUUUCUUGGAAAGCAAACAACCUCCAAAGGGGAAGGGAAUGAAGAGCUCACUCACCAGUUGUUGCUCUCUACAUUCCAUACAUGAGAGAAAUUUGUUUUUAAAAGGGAAAUGAAACACUUAAUCAGGCUGAAAAAAGAUCUCAAAAAGGAGUAAUUUAGAUUGAUCUGCCCCUGUACUUGGAUCGAUCCAGAGACAAGGUAACUUAAAACUUUUAGCAAAAAAUAUUUUUCCCAUGCUUCCCUAACUUUUUUAAUAUGAUUCAAGGCAACCAACAUUUUGAAAAUAGGGUUGAUUCAAAUUCAUUCAACAUAAACUCAGCUACUUACUUUGACUUCUUAGCAAAUCCAAUGUCUUGAUCUUCAUAAGUCAAGUAGUCCAACAACGGAUUUAGAGAACCAUAGCUAGUAGACACUUAGGCAUUUUGUCCGGAAUUGCCAACCUAACUAUAACACUCACAACUUCAUUAAAAGGACCACAUAGAUAUCAUCUGCACAUGCAAUGAUAGUGUAUAAGUCGAGUGUUUUCUUAGCAAUGAAGUCAUAUAUAAAAAUUAACAUGAAAUGGGUUUUUUUUUUUUUUUUGUAAAUAAUAAAUAAUAAAAUUCACAUGUUUAGACACUCAUUCUUUCUGGUUAGACACCAUUUUAUGUAAAGAAGAAAUUGUCGUCUUCUUGUCUCUUUUUACUUGUGUUUAAGUUCUGUCAUAAAUGCAAACUUUGGCUUCUUACUUCAAUCAUUAGGGGUCUGUUUCGCUAUUUGAUCUUAUCCUCUAAUCUUGUUAUAUAUGAUAACUUGUUAUGUAUCUAUUACAGUUAUAAAAACAUCAAUGUUAAGAAUUUAAGAUGUUCUGAUUAUUUCAUUAUUUGGUCUUUUACAUUAUAAUUUGGGUGGUAUGUACAGAUAAACAAUAUAGAGAACAGGUCAGUACUUCAUGAUGCCCUCUGUGCUCCAAAGGACGCUAUUAUAUAGAGUGAUGGAAAGAGUAUGGUCCCAGAUGCCUACAAGGUUCUAGACAAGAUCAGAGUAUUUUUUUUAGAUUGCCUAUAGUGGUUCCUUAGUAAUUAAAGUUGUUUAUAAAUCUAAUUCAGAUAUGUUAUCCAUAAAUAUCAAGUAGUGAUUAAUUGUUAACCUACGAAAAAAGUAAUAAUUAAAUUUUGGUAGGUUGGAGUCGCUAGAAAAGCAUUGAUGGAUGUAAUUUUUGUUGGCAUUGGUGACAGGUUCUUAGCUACACCCUCCUUUUUGUGCACACUGCUCUACAAACAGGAUUAGAUUCAUCUUCCAAAGUUGAAAUUGCUCGUCAUCUUGGAGGAAUAUGGAAUUGGGUGUAAGCUUGAAUUCAUCUUCCAAAGUUGAAACUCAUCUUCCAAAGUUAUUCAUUGUGAUUUUAUUGGUGUUGUGAAGAGUCAACAACAUGUGUACCUAAAGGCACUAGACCCCAAGAAAUGGAUAUUUCUGAUAAUCUGCUGUUUACAUUUAAGGUGUUCCUACAUUGCAUUACAUAAUUCUUGAUUAGAUAUGGUUUGCAGAUGAAGUGGUAAGUAACCACGACACUCCAGUUUCUUGCAGACCCCUGAACAAUUGCAGAAUGAGAAUGUUCCCCAGCAUCUUAUUCCUCACAAGGUAAUGUCCUUUCAGUUUGUGCUCUGAAGUCUUCUUUCAACGAAUAACCGUUUUGCUUUAAUGAUUGCAUUUUCUUUCACAGACCUUCUCUGGCAACCGGCCAUCUCUGAGCCUUCUGCUUCCGUCACUGGAUGCUUAAUAUUUAACAAGUUCAAGAUUUUGUACUCCUUUUUUGUCCUUUAUCGAACCAUCUUGUUCAAGCAGAUAAAUUGUUAUAAGUGUUCAUGGAUUUUGGAUUAUUCCAUGAUGAUCAGAAACUACUAGAAUCUGUCAAGGUUAGAUUAUCAUUAAAGCCUCACAAAUUUUUGGGCUCCCAUAUGUCAUGUAUUUUACCAUUGAUGAACCGGAAGUGUAGUAUUUACUAUGCUUUUUUGUUAUCACAGGAUGUGUGAAGAGCAAUCUUUGAAUCAAACAGUGGAGGAAAUUGGCCUUUUGACUUGGGAUCAGACUAGAAACAGGUCACUUACAUAUUAAACAAACUUCAGAGUUUGUUCUGAAUCAACUUCAUGAAACCAUUUCUCAGCUUCCUAGGAGCCAUGGAACAGCAAUAUUGAUGAGUUCCAGAAAGAAAACGUCUGAUGCAACACAAGGAGCAGACUGAGGAUUUUGGAUGGACACUCUUUCGUCCCUGGCAAGUUGCCGCCUUUGCUACCCAAUUCCAAUUCUCCAAAUGAAAGAACUGACAGAUCACUUUUUGCCUCAACCAAGGACACCUCUGUGCCAGCAGUCUUGACUGUGGAACAAGUAAAACAAAUGGUACCUGCUGAAGCUGAGGGGGCAGAUGAUGAAUUGGUGCUGAAGGUGGUCAACCAAAAGAAUCAGACCGCAAAAACUUAAAACCCCAUGAAGCCCGCUACUGGAGCGGUCUCAGCACCUGUUUCUGGGAGGGGUGAGAUUGAAGGGAGUGAAGAAAAGGAGCAUAAGCAAACAGAGAAGGAAGAGGAGUUGGCAAGGAAGGUAGGGGAAUUGAGAAGUGAAGAGGAAGCAGCCAUGUUGAAGGAGCAAAGUCUGUUGGAGGAGAAAGCCAACGUUAAGGAGGCACUGGAAAGGAAACAAGGAACUGCAGAAAAGGCCAAUUCCUUUGUGAGUGCUGCCACCUUUUCAUGAUACGGCCAUAAUAAUGGAUGUUUAAACAGUCUUUAACUCUACAUACUUUCUUGCAUUAUACUAGUCAUUGAAGAUUCAAGAUCAUCAUUUCAGACAUAUGGUCGUUCACUAAAAUCAAUAAUUUGUUAUUUUUUUAGUUUUAGUAACAGGUAAUGUAAUUUUUCAAGGAAAGAUUUGAUGCAACUUUUUGCCCAGCCAUAGAUUGGAAUCUGCCAGUCUUAACUCUCAUAAGAAAGAAAAAUUUCCGUCCUCCUAUGGAUUAUAGGAGAAGAUUUUAACAUGGAGUCCACUUGAGAGUUUCUAAUACCCACUUGAGAUUUUAACUCUCAUAAAAAAGAAAGUGCAGAAAAGGCCAAUUCCUUUGUCACUACUGAGGCCACCAUUUCAUGAUACAGCCAUAAUAAUGGAUGUUUAAACAGUGUGAUUAGACAUAAGUUUGCCAUUCAUAUAUGGGAACAUGUUGCUUGUCAAUUAUGAAUAGUUUGUCAUUCAUAUAAGUAGGACACACAAAAUAUGGUUUGUCAUUCAUAUGAAUAGUACCCUCUUGAAUUAAUUGAUUAAAUAGACCUGCAAAUAUAGUGCAGAAAAGAAGCCAUGGGAUGAGAAUAAUAGAGAAAAUAUGAACAAAACUUAGCUUCGGCUUUCGAUGAGUCCAGGUAAAAUCAAUAUCAAUAUAACCUUGCAGGUGAAUCAUCAUAGUGAAGUUUUUGGAAUUUCAAUGCAUGAACAUAAAGCCACUAAAAGGGCCCCUGAUAUUCAACCAUUACCGGUUCAAGGAUUGUAUUCAGUCAGCGUAUAAUGAGGUGGAUAUUUUGAUUAUUAGGCGAAUCUCAAGAAGUGAUCUCAAUGUUUGACCAGAGAGCCUUACACCAUGGGUGUGAUUUGUCAGACAACAAUUCAUUUCUGCUUCAUGGUUGUGCCUUGAGGUAAGGCUUUAGAGGCAUAAGCCUCAAAAGCCUCUUAAAAUUGGUUGUACACUUCUUUGCAUGAUGAAUGGAAGUUCCAAAUUUUGAUGACUUGGUGAUGUUGGAGUAAUUGUGUUGAAAGCAGUCAAACACAAACAAUUAUUAAAGAAGAUAAAAAUUUGGAAGAAUUAAAAUUUUAUUGUAUUCUACCACUCUCUUUUUUUUUUUUCAAAUGUUACAUAAUAUUUUAUUUAUAGAUACCCACACUUAAUUAAAAAUGACAUAAUUAAAAGUAAAUUAUCAUUUAAUUACAAUGGAUUCAAUAGAACAUGGUUGAUAUGCUCAAUUUUUGUCCGUCAAUAAAAUUUGAUUUGAGUGAAUAUAAUUAGAGUAAAAUAGUCUUUUUAACUAUCACUUUUACAAUAAAAAAGUGUUUUAUUUAAAUAAAUAUUUAAUAAAAUUUUAAAAAUAUUUUUGAAAAAUAAUUAUAGUAUUUUCUAAGAAACAUUUGAUAAAUAAUUAUUAUAAAAAUACUUUUAAAAACACUUCCUUGAAAGUACUUCAAAGUUGGCCGAAUGGUAAGUUAUACAUCAGGAUCUUAAUGAUGGUCUAGGUAACCAUCACCAUUGAUUGUUUUUUAAAACACAACUUCCAUUUAAAUAAUAUUUUAAGGCAAGUCCUAAUUAUCAUAUUUUACAAGAUAUUUUUUAAAAUUAUUGUUUUUUUUCUUUCAAAAUCCCAAGAGGGAGGUCACCAAUAUGAAAAUAAUGUGACCCAUCUCUAUACUUUCGUCUCCAUUAUUUGGACUACAUCAUAGUUUCCUUAUUGACAACAUGGUAGCCACGUUAAAUACCUACAACUUUGAAAACAAGAUCUCAAAACUAUGCCUAUUUGAUUAUAAGGCUUAAUUAUCAUAGUUUAUCAUUUCCUAGCAUAGUUCUUAGCAUCUAAGUAUUUGUUAUAUAAGAAUUUUUCUCAUUUUUCAACUUGCAUUUUGUUUAAAAAAAUUUUUAGUUGUUUAAAAUCAUUUUGAAAAUGUCAACUCAUGAUUAUAUACAUUUUAGUUCUAUAAGGACUAAAAUCACUAAACGUCAUGGUAAUUCUAUUUAAGGUAAUUUGCUUUAAAUGAGAAUGUGUUUAUAUAUAACUUAUGAUUUACGGUAAUAAUAGAGAUCGAAUUUAACAAGACAUAAGUUUUGAAUUAAAUAUUAGUAUAUUUAUGUUUCCUUCUUAUUUUUAAUCUAAAACACAUUAAAUGUAUGCUCUUGAAUUCCUUCAUGUUUUUGACAUAAUACGUAUAAUGAUAAAUCAAUUAUUAUUAUUUAAUAAUAUGGAGCUUUGACUUUUGACAUUUAAGUAACAUUGUCAAUGAAAGCUUCAUUAUUUUUGUUUCAUGGAAGAGCAAAUGAUGUGAUUGAAUUACACUUCAAUUAUGUUUGUUUCUUUGAAAAUACUCGAGAAAAAUAAAUAUUAAAGAAAAUAAUUUUUUUAUAUUUGAUUUUACUAUAAAAAAUAAUAUAAUUAAAAUUAGUAAUAAAUUUAAAUAUUUUUAAAUUACUUAAUCUUUAUAUAAAAGAGUUAAAUAAAUAAAACGAGUUUAAAACAUAAUAUACAGGUAAUUUAUUGACUUUAAAUAUUUAUCUCUCUCUUUUUUACUUCACUUUUUCUUUUCUUCUCUUUUUCCUCUAUCUUCUUUCUUUUGUAUUUUCCUUCAUGCUUUUUGGAACCGAACAUAUUCACAUAUAUUCUUGAUUUCUAUUGGGUUUAUGAAAUUUGAGUAGACAUAAUUAAUGGGUCAGUCUUUAUUUUCAUUUGACAUAAUUAAAAUAUUCUCUUUGAUGAGAUAAUCUUAGAUAAAUUGUUAUUUGAUUGCAGCAUAUUCAAUCGAAUUCGAUGGUCUAGCUAUCAUAAAUCAUACAUGUGCACUAUUUACAGUAAAUGAACAGCCACAAACCAUACAUAGAGGAGAUGAGGAUUUCAUAAUAAAUUAUACAAUAAUUACAAAGGAUAUGAUAUUAACUUGCAGUAAAUUGCAACAUCAGCACUCUAAUGCUAGAUUAGAGGAUGGGCAAUGGGCUCAGAGUAAUUAGACAAAGUAAGUCUGAUUAUUAUUAACUUUCCUAAUCUUUCGUGGGCCUUUUGGGUGCUUUAUGUGCAAAAGGUGAAAAAGAGAAAAGACUAUAACUAAAUUGCCAAUCCAUCACUGACGUUAUAGAUUGAUGAACAAUACCAAAGAGGGUGUUACGAAAUAAUGAGAAUAAAUAAUAAGAAAAAUAGAAUAAGAACACAUAGAUAUUUAUGGAAAACUCUAGAUGAGAAAAAUCAUGAAAAGACGAGAAGAAGAUUCAUUAUGUCAAAAAUUGGUACAAAGUGAGAGAGUUGAAAGCGACUACAACAAAAGUAUAAUCAUUGUAACCCUAAAACUAUACAUUAUAUAUAUAUAUAUGCAAGAGUUGAGAACAACUAUGGGAUGAGGUCUAUCGACCCAAUCCCUUCACUACCCCCAUAAAUUUAUCAAAAAAUCUCAUAAUUUUAACUUUACUACAUAUAUUGCAUCGUGAGCUUUUCGAAUCGAAUAAAAAAGAAUUUGGAAUCAUCAAACAUUAACAAAGGGAGUGAGAUCACAACUUUGGAAGGAUUUUUUUAAAAAAAAAUGUAGACUUGAAUGGUAAAUAGUAAAGUGUGUUUGAGAGUGACACUUGAAAGUAUUUUCAAUGUUUUUAAUAUUUGAAAAACAAAAAUUUUUAAAAUAUAAAAAUAUUAAAAACAUUUUCUAAAAUCAAUAUCAAAAACCAUUUUAUAAAAUCAGUAUCAAACUAUCAAACAUAAUUUGAAUUUAAAUAAAGACAAGAACAACAUUGACUCUUAACUCACCAAACCAGUCCCAGUUCACUUAUUGAAUGAAAAGAAAAUAAUUAAAAAUAAAUAACAGCAUCCAUUCUACCAUGUUAUGACGAGUAAAAGACAAUGGAGAUUUUAACUUCGUUGCCUUAAAAGUCGUGCCCCCUUUCAUGAGUAUAUAUAAUAAAAUAUAUUCGUUUGCAUCUCUUGAUAGCAAAUAAUUUGAUAAUUUUUUAGAAUUAAUUAAUGAAGAUAAUUUUUUGAUAAUUAACAGACAAUUAUGUCAAUAUUUUGACAUUAUAUUCAAUUCACCAAAUAAGAUUAUUUUUCACCCAACAAUAAUUUAUGUAGAAUAAUAAAUAAAUUAAAUUAGCAUUUGAUUAAAAAUUGGUUUUGACUUUUGUGAAACCCCACAGUCGCUCACUGCUAAAGGGUUACAGCUAAUCAAAGAUAAAUGAGAGAGAAGAACGGGACAUCGGACAUCCUCACCACCAUCGUCUCGGCAUCAAAGACCCUCUUUCUUCUUCUUCCAAAUUCUGUUCUUGUAAUUUUGUUACAAUCCAACCAUGGAUUCCACUAGCAAUUCUAUGAGACCCUCUUCUUCUUCUUCUUCUUCUUCUUCUUCUUCUUCUUCUAAUUCUAAAUGGAGGUACGAUGUGUUCUUGAGUUUCAGAGGCGAAGAUACCCGCGACAGCUUUACUUCUCAUCUCUACUCGGCUUUGGAUCGUGGCAUCAUUAAAACCUUUAGAGACGAUAAAGAACUUCGAAAGGGAGGAGAGAUUGCACCCGAACUCUUAAAAGCUAUUGAAGAAUCAAGGAUAGCCAUUCUUGUCUUCUCGAAAACCUAUGCUCAUUCCAAGUGGUGUUUGCUGGAGUGCCAGGAAGAAAAGGGACGAAAAGUUUUUCCUAUCUUCUAUCAUGUAGAGCCGUCUGAAGUAAGGAAACAGACUGGGAUUUAUGGAGAAGCAUUUAACAAUCACGAGAGCAAUGCAGACGAGGAGAAGAAGAAGAAGAUAGAGAAGUGGAGGACUGCCUUAUGGAAAGUCGGUAAUUUGAGUGGAUUUCCUCUGCAGGAUGGGUAAAUCCCUACAUCGCUUUUUCUAUUUCCAAUUUUCUGUCAGUUUAUUUUCAUUCUUGUUAAUAAAUGAAAUAUCUAUGAUUACAUAUAUCAAUCAAAAUCCAUUUUUAAGUAGUAGCCAUUAAUAUGUUUGAUUACUUCGAAGUAAUAAGAAAGAGUUAUAAAAAAAAAAAUGAUUUUCUCAUGUUUAAUUUAUUAUUAAAAAAUAUGAAAGAAAAAAAAAUUAAAAUUAAAAUACAAAGGAAAAAAUCAGUGAUUUAAAAAUUUUGGACUGGCAUUGAACCGGUUUUCAUAGAACCGCUCAAUAUGUGGGUUGACCAAAACACUCUUGGGCUUUGUCUGCUGCAUUGGGCCUAUGAUCUUCCCAUCCACCAGCCAGCCCAUAGGCAGCCCAUUGAACAACUUGUCCAUUCCUUCAGGUGUAGGUUAUUUGCAUUGUGAGGAUUUGAACUUGGAUGUUUACAAAAGAAAGAUGCCAACCAUUAUGUUGUACAACUUCUUUGAUAGGUAUAGGUAACAAUAUUUUAUAUUAAUACUAUUUGUAAAUUUUUAUAAUAUAAAACAUUUAAACAAAUAUAAAUAUUUAUAUUCAUGUUUAUUUUUAUAAUAAUUAUUAACAAUAAAUAUGAAAAUAAAUUAAUUAAUAUAAUAUCUUUAAAAUUUUAAAAUAAUAAAAUGUAUAGAUAUGUAGAUAAAAUAAAAUGUUAUAAUUUUCUUCUCAUAUGUAAAUAUUAUACAUAUUUUAUUUAAUAAAAUUUGAUAUACUAAUACAUUUAUAUUUAUGUUUAUCAUUUAAUAGACAUAUCAAAUACAAAAAAAGUGAAAUGCUAUAAUUUUAAUAUUAUAUAAAUUUCUUAAAAUUAUUUUUAAUUUUAAUAAAAUAUAAAUUAUAUAUUUAUGACAUCACCGGUUCGACCACCAGUCCGACUAGUGAACCAUGAACCGGUAACUUUUCCGGUUCAAUAACAAAUCCAGUUCUAAAAACAUUGGAAAAAAAUAUAUAUUUAGUUUAUAAUUGAAAUGAUAUUAGAAAAUCUAUAGUAAUAACAAUAAAAAAUAUAAUAAAAUAAAAUAAUUGUGUCAAAUGCCAAGUUUUGAAUUGUUAAAAAAUCUUUUAGAUUCCAAAAUAUUCUUCCUUUCUAAUCAAUCCAUUUUAGCCAUAAUUUCUAUCAAUUAGAAAAAAGGUAUUCUAUCAAAUAAAUUGUUAAAAUUGCUUAUUAAUAUGCUUUGUAAAUUUGGAGAUAAUCUAGAAUGAUUAUUUAAACAAUUGUAAUACCACCCUAAAUUUUUCUAAAACUUAGUUAUUAAAAUAAUUCUCAUAUUUUCUAUGCACUACAUGAGUUUACAUUUUUUCUUUCCUUAAUAUUGUUUCUUCCUCUAUAUUUGCAAGUUGAUUACCAAAUUUAUUUACCUUUUAAUCUAAUGUUUGUAUCUCGUUUUAUUCUAACUAUCCCAUGAUGUUAGGAUAAUUAAUCUCUUCUUAAGACCUAGUCUUUCACGUUGAAUCAUCUAAUGCUAAACUUAUUCCCUUGCUAUUCUACAUUGUGUACUCAUGGGAUUAAUAUAUUGUAAUUGAAAUUGUUUUUUUUUUUUCCUCUUUUUCUCUUUUAUGUUCUACAUUCCUCUAUGCCUCAAUUACAAAUAAAAGUAAGUAACAUUUGAGCUUGUUUGACAAUAUUUUUGAAACUAAUGUUCAAAAAAUAGUUUUCCCCAACCCAAUGUUGAAAAUAAUGAAUAAAUUUUUAUUUGAAAAUUCAAAUAUGGAAAACACCUUUCUCAACUUAUUAACUAUAAAGGUACGAUAAAUUUAUGUACAAUAUAACAAUACUAGUAUUAUCUAUAUUUUCAAUUCUUUAUCACAAUACUCUAUAAGGAAAUACCUAAAAAAAAUCUCAAAUAUGCUCUUAGAAAUGAACUUGUUUACCAAACCAAUUUUUGAAAAUAAUUUAUAGUAAAAAAAAAAAUUAAAGGGUUUAAUACACUUUACCCCCUCAACCUAUCCCGUGUUUUGUACAUUGCCCCCUUUAGGUUUAAAAUCAAACACAUUACACCCCAAAUUUCUUAAAUUGCAGCAUUCUGCCUUUUUUGUUGGACAAUGUUAGUUUAAGUGGACAAAAAUCUCACAUGUUGUGCAUGUGACUAACUAAUGAAGGGUAGAUUUAUAAAUUCUCAAACCAAAAAAAUCCCCUAACAACUCUCCUUCUCUCUGUCUUCAUCUUCGUUUUCAUCAAACCCUAACCCUCUCUCUGUCUUCAUUUUCAUUUUCAUCAAAUCCUAACUCUAUUUGGAGUGCAAUUUUCAGCAUUCCCCCCCUCUUAUAAGUGGUCAACAGUUUUAGCAUUUUGUCUUCGUCUUCUUACUAUCUUCUCCUCCUUACUAUCUUCUUCUCUUUCCUACUCCAAUCUUCAAACCCUAAUCAUACAUUGUUUUCUUAGGCAUUGUAGAUCUUCCACCUCUGAAGAAGGAGCUAAGGGAGCUUUGAGUUUUGAAUUUUGGGGGUUUGUAGAUGGACAUUUUCUGAUGUGAUUAUUGGAAUGACUUUUUAUUUUUAUUUUUUUCUGCAUUGAUUUUGAAGGGUACCCAUUUGGGUGAAAUUGUUUUUGUGUGUGCAAUGCUCGAUGAAAGGUGGGAUUUGGGUGGUUUGACUUUACAUGUUCUUGUUGUUUGGUUGCUGAGAAAGUGGGGAAAAAGAGGGGAGAUUGGAAUUUUGGGUUGUUAUGGGUUUUCUUUGAUUUGGUUUCUAGAAGGAAAUUGAAAUCUCUACUCAAUGAUGUUAACUAGUUAUAGUGAGGUCGAUGAAUAUUACAAUUUAGGAACUUUGAUUCGUUUUAUUUUUAAUUUUCUCAUUAGCCAAACGAGGUUAGGGGUGUAAUAUGUUACAACUAAAAUGAAGACCAAGAUUGAGAGAGGGAGAGCGACUUUUUAGGUUUAAGAAUUUACAAAUCUACCCUUCAUUAGUCAGUCACAUGCUCAACACGUGACAUUUCCAUCCACUUAAACUAACACUAUCCAACGAAAAAGGCAAAGUGCUGCAAUUUAAGAAGUUUAGGGUGCAAUAUGUUCGAUUUUAAACCUAAAAGGGUAAUGUACAAAACACGAAAUAGGUUGAGGGGGUAAAGUAUAUUAAAUCCAAAAUUAAAUAUAUAUUUAAGUUAUAAAACUAUUUUAUAUUCCAAAGAAAAAAAAUCUAUUUUCAAAAACAAUAUCUAGACAAGCAUUUUUCUUUGAAGUGUCAUUUUAAAAUUUUUUUCCAUGAGUGUAAUUGUUGCUAGGCUUUUGACCAAUAAACAAACAUGUGUAACUUUCCUCGUCAUUGUAAUUUAUAUUUGGGAAAAAAGUGGGGAUUUCAUCACAAUAUGAAACUUAUGUAGCAAUUAUUAGUAACCUAAAUAUAAAUAGAACUAAAAUGGAGAAUUUACUUGUUUACAAAAUAAAUAGUUGAAAGUCUUAUAAGCAUAGAGAAUGGUCAUAAGUCAUGUUGUAAAUAAUAAAAGCAUUGAUAGGUUAAGGAACUUAGGUGGCAAAUUGAUAGAUUUCUAGCCAAACUAUUAUUUGUCUCUAUAAUAAAAUCUCUUAUCAUAAAGGGUAAGGAUACUUUAGAAAGGUCAACUUCAAUUUGGCCCUUUAGAAGCAAUUGAGAUAUUUACAUUAUUUUAUUGCACAUAUACUUGACAUAACACAAUGAAAUUUAAUUCAAACAUGCAACUCAACACAUUUUUAAUUUACAUUCUAUUUGACCUUAAUUUAGUUGCAUUGAAUGAAACUAAACACCAUUCUAUAAUUUCCAUUUACUUCAUCUUUGUUUUCUUUGGCAAUUGAUUCUAACUCACUGCGUGUUUUAUUGUACUUUACAAUGGACAGAUUUGAGGCAGAGUUUAUUGAAGAUAUCAUUGGUGAGAUUAGAAGAUUAAUUCCUAAGUUGGUACAUGUUGGUGAGAACAUGGUUGGAAUGGAUGAAAAUUUGAAAGAAGUGAAGUCAUUGAUAGAUGCCCAAUCAAAUGAAGUGAGCAUGGUUGGGAUUUAUGGGAUUGGUAAAACUACCAUCGCCAAGGUUGUUUACAAUGAUAUGUUAGUUCAAUUUAAACGUCACAACUUUCUUGAAAAUGUGAGAGAGAAAUCUAAAGAUGAUGAUGGUUUGCUUUAAUUACAAAAAAAAAACCUUCUUUGUGAUAUCCUAAUGGAGAAAGAUCCGAAGUUAAGUGCUAUUGGUGAAGGAAUCGAAAAGAUAAAGAAUAAGUGUUGCUUUGAAAAGGUUCUUAUUGUUCUUGAUGAUGUAGAUUGUCCAAGACAAUUAAAAUUCUUAGCUCCUAAUUCUGAAUGUUUUCAUCGAGGAAGCAUAAUCAUUGUGACUACGAGAAAUAAACGUUGCCUAGAUGUACAUGAGUCGUAUUCAUCAUAUGAGGCUAAGGGAUUAGCACACAAGAAAGCUAAGGAACUCUUUUGUUGGAAUGCCUUUCGGCAACACCAUCCACAAGACAAUUAUGUGAACCUCUCUAAUCAUAUAUUGGAUUAUGCUAAAGGCCUUCCAUUGGCACUUGUAGUUUUGGGUUCUUUUCUUUAUAAAAGGGAUGUGGAUGAAUGGGAAAGCACAUUGCAUAAACUAAAAACAAACCCUCUUGACGAUAUUCAAAAGGUACUCCUGGUAAGUUAUGAUGGACUAGAUUAUAAAUGCAAGAAAUUGUUCCUUGAUAUCGCAUGCUUCUUCAAAGGUCAAGAUGAAAAAUUUGUUACAAGAAUACUAGAAGGUUGCAAAUUCCAUCCCAAGAUUGGACUAAGAGUUCUUCAUGAGAGGUGUCUUAUUUCUAUGAAAGACAACACUACAAGGAUGCAUGACUUGUUACAAGAAAUGGGUUGGGCAAUUGUUCGCCAAAAUUAUCCAGAACAUCCUGGAAAAUGGAGUAGAUUGUUGGAAUUAAAGGAUAUUGAAAGUGUAUUUACAUAAAAUAUGGUAAGAGAAAAAUGCAUGAGUAUACUUGAGAUCUAAAGACAUAUAAAAGAUUCUACAAGAUUUAUUUUUAUUAUUAUUAUAGUUUGAGUACCUUAUCUUUUAGUGAAUCCCUAUGUAUCUUAUACUGCUUAUUCUCAAUGCUUAUUUUCAGGGGACAAAAAACAUUGAGGGGAUAUUUCUAAAUAGGGAUUGGAAAAAAUCUCUACAACUUCUUGUACAACUUACUAUUAAAUCUUUCAGAAAGAUAAAUCGACUUAGAUUGCUCAUAGUCAAAUACAAUAUGGUGCAACUUUCCCAAGACUUUGAAUUGCCUUGUCAUGGUUUAGUAUACUUUCAUUGGGAUCGCUACCCUUUAGAAUGUUUGCCAUCAAAUUUUCAUGCAGACAAUCUUGUUGAACUCAACCUCCGGUUCAGCAAAAUAAAACAUCUUUGGAAAGGAAACACAGUAUUGCUAUUAUUUAGUUAUAUUUUUUCUCUAGACUAAUUUUAAUUUUUUUUGAAGUUUAUUUAUUGAAAUAGUUUUUCUUCUGUAACAGACUGCUAGAAAGUUAAAGGUCAUUAAUCUCAGUUAUUCCAAGCAUUUGGUUGGUAUUUCAAGCAUCUCAAGUGCACCAAAUUUGGAGAUUCUAAUUCUAGAAGGUUGUACAAGGUUACUUACGUGUUUCACCCAUGCUUAAUGUUAUUAUUAGUCAUUAACUAACUAUUUUCUUGAAUAUAAUAGGGUGCAUAAGACUCAAGAGUCUUCCAAGGAACCUUCAUAAGUUGGAAUGUCUUCAAACUCUCUUAUUGAAAGGGUGUUCAAAUCUAAAGAGCUUUCCAGAAAUCAAGGAUGAUAUGAAAAAUCUGAAAGGCCUUUAUUUGAGUGAAGCAGCUAUAAAAGAGCUUCCAUCAUCAAUUGGACAUCUACAGGCCCUUGAAAACUUGGAUUUGUCAGGUUGUGAAGACCUUGAGAGUCUU